UCAUUCUUCUACUACUUCUACUUCUCAUUCUUCUACUUCUUCUCAUCCCCCGUCUUCUACUUCUUUUCUUCUUCUUCUUCUUCUUCUUCUUCUUCUUCUUCUUCUUCUUCUUCUUUCUCCUCCUCCUCCUCCUCCUCCUCCUCUUCUUCUUCUUCUUCUUCUUCUUCCCCCUUCUACUUAUUCUACUUUUCGUCUUCUUUUUUCAUCUUUUUUCACUUCCUUUAAUUAUGACUAUUUAACUAAAACCUAACACUAGUCUAAUAUAAUCCAAUCUAAUUAAUCUAAUCUAGCUAACUAUAUAACCUAAACCUAAACUAAAAACCUAAACUAAUUAAAACUAAACUAAUUAAACCUAAACUAAUUAAACUAAAUAACCUAAACUAAUUAAUUCUAAACUGAAAAAACUUAAACUAAAAAACCUNNNNNNNNNNNNNNNNNNNNNNNNNNNNNNNNNNNNNNNNNNNNNNNNNNNNNNNNNNNNNNNNNNNNNNNNNNNNNNNNNNNNNNNNNNNNNNNNNNNNNNNNNNNNNNNNNNNNNNNNNNNNNNNNNNNNNNNNNNNNNNNNNNNNNNNNNNNNNNNNNNNNNNNNNNNNNNNNNNNNNNNNNNNNNNNNNNNNNNNNNNNNNNNNNNNNNNNNNNNNNNNNNNNNNNNNNNNNNNNNNNNNNNNNNNNNNNNNNNNNNNNNNNNNNNNNNNNNNNNNNNNNNNNNNNNNNNNNNNNNNNNNNNNNNNNNNNNNNNNNNNNNNNNNNNNNNNNNNNNNNNNNNNNNNNNNNNNNNNNNNNNNNNNNNNNNNNNNNNNNNNNNNNNNNNNNNNNNNNNNNNNNNNNNNNNNNNNNNNNNNNNNNNNNNNNNNNNNNNNNNNNNNNNNNNNNNNNNNNNNNNNNNNNNNNNNNNNNNNNNNNNNNNNNNNNNNNNNNNNNNNNNNNNNNNNNNNNNNNNNNNNAGAAGAAGUGAGUAACGGGCGAGGGGGGGUACGGGCCGUUAGGUAGUGCCCUCUUUGCCGUCCGCCUAUCUUUGCCGUCCACCCUUUUUGCCUCUUUGUCGUCUGCUGGCGGACGGCAAAGAGGUGGGCCGUUAAGUUUUUUCCAAACGGGCGGGGGUUGGGGGCCACCUCACUCUUUGCCGUCUGCCAGCGGACGGCAAAGAUUCUUUGCCGUCUGCUGGCUGACGGCAAAGAGCUUGCAGAUGGCAAAGAGCUUCUUUGUCGUCUGCCGUUUCUUUGCCGUCUGCUUUUGGGUAGCUGAUGGCAAAGAGCUUCUUUUCCGUCAGCUAGCGGACGGCAAAGAGCCGGCAGAUGGCAAAUUAGCUGAUUCCAGCAGUGGACCUUGCAUGCUUCUAGUGAACCUGUUGCUGACACACUUGAGAAUCCCGGUGAUAUUUCUAUUUCUGAUGCUGAAACACAAUAUGGUAAUGAACAUUAACCUAGUGAUAAUAUUAAUGAUGAUGCUCAGCCUAGCAAUAACAAUGAUGUAGAAAUUGAAUCUGCUGUUGAUCUUAAUAACCCACAAUCGAAGAAUCAACGUUGUGAUAAGAGAGACUUUGUCGCUAGGAAGCACGGUAAAGAAAGAGAACCAUGGGUUCAGAAACCCAUGCCUUUUCCUCCUAAACCAUCCAAGAAAAAGGAUGAUGAGGAUUUUGAGCGCUUUGCUGAAAUGAUUAGACCUAUCUUUUUGCGUAUGCGUUUGACUGAUAUCCUUAAAAUGAAUCCUUAUGCGAAGUAUAUGAAAGAUAUUGUUACUAAUAAGAGAAAGAUAUCGGAACCUGAAAUUUCCACCAUCCUUGCUAAUUAUACUUUUAAGGGUGGAAAACCAAAGAAACUAGGAGAUCCAGGAGUACCAACUAUACCAUGCUCCAUUAAAAGAAACUAUGUUAAAACUGCUUUAUGUGAUCUUGGAGCCGGUGUUAGUGUUAUGCCUCUCUCUUUAUAUCAUAGACUAGAUUUAAAUAAGUUGACACCUACUGAAAUAUCUUUGCAAAUGGCUGAUAAAUCAACUGCUAUACCUGUCGGUAUUUCUGAGGAUGUGCCUGUCGUGGUUGAAAACGUUACUAUCUUAACGGACUUUGUUAUUGUUGAUAUUCUCGAGGACGAUAGUAUGUUGAUUAUCCUUGGUAGACCCUUUUUGAAUACUGCAGGGGCUGUUUUUGAUUGCAACAAAGGCAAUGUCACUUUUCAUGUUAAUGGUAAUGAGCAUACGGUACACUUUCCGAGGAAACAACCUCAAGUUCACAGUAUCAAUUCUAUUGGAAAAAUUCCAACUAUUAGUAUUGGAGGUUUUGAAUUUCCUCUUUCUACUGUCAAAAAGAAAUAUGAUAUCUUAUUGUUGGGGAUGUGCAUAUCCCCGUUGAGGUAACCUAGUGCUAUUCGAAAAUUCUCCGGUUUCAUGCGAUUCGGAAUGAGUUUGUUAACAAGACUUGAUCAACCUUGUUAGUCGAUUCCUUUUGAUGAGCAUGAGAUGGAUGAAGUUAGAAAGCACAACCUUUUGUACCCUCCUUUUACUUUCUGUUAUUUAGAUUAAAUAAAGCAAAAUAGUAUUUUCUGUCUGUUUUCUGAGUUAUCUUUGCAAUAGAAAAAUACCCCGAAAAUAAAAGUUCUCCAAAUGCCCUGAAAUUGAAAUAUGAUUUUUUUCUAUAAUAUUUAAGAAUAUUUGGCACUGAGAACACACCAGGGGGAGCCACCACCUGGCCACGAGGGUGCAGGGCGCGCCCCCUACCUCGUGGGCCCCACAUGGCCCCGCUCCACUUAUUCCAGCACCCAUAGACUUCGUCUUCCUCUAGAAAAAAUCACCACCUCGCUCAAACUCGUGUUCUAGCUCAUCUUGCUGCGAUUUUCGAUCUCCUUGCUCAAAGCUCCACUCACAAAACUUCUUUGGGGGAUUUUUCUUCGGUAUGUGACUCCUCCAAUGGUCCCAUUAGUUUUUGUUUUAGUGCUUUAUUUAUUGCAAAUUUUUGCUGCUUAGGUGACCCUGUUCUUGAGCUUGCAUGUCAAGUUUAUUUGGUCCCAAGUAGUUCUAAUGCAUGAUAUAGUCUCUAGGCACUUGUGGGAGUAGUUGCUAUCAAUCUUGUUGAGUUUGGUUCACUUUUAUUUUGAGUCAUUAAAAAUUUCAGAAAUUUUUCAGAGGAAGAAAUAUGUUUAGGAAAAUGUAGCAAGGUGUUUCCUCAAAGAAGCAAGGACCCAGGCUCGCAAUACAUGAGCCGGACUAUGAACUAUCAAGAGAAGCUCAAGUGCGGCCUUGUGAAUAGCCGUUAGAAUAUUUUAUGGUCCAAGCAUGCAUUAAGGACGAAUUCGACGCAUAUGUGCGUAACGCUGAACUUGAGGGCUUCGUGUCAGAUAAGUGCCCCCAAUAUUAUUACCUAACUGAUUCCUUUGUGAGAAGGUUUAAAUUUACAUCAUCACGCAAUUCUCACACUAUCCUAUUUGAUCUUUAUGAUAAAUCUCAUACCAUGGACUUAGAAGAUUUUAAUACUGCUUGUAAACUCCCGCAGUGGGGUAAUGUUAGUGAACCUGGCAAAUCUGAAUUAAAAAAUUUUCUUGCUAGUAUCACUGUGGGGGAAUCUAGAGAAAUAACACAAGCUACCAUAGGGAGCAUUCACUUUCCUGUCAUACAUUAUUUUGCUCUCUUUAUAGGUAGAAGCAUUAACGGAAAGGAUGAGGCAUCUCACAUGUGUGUUCCCGACCUUAGUGUUCUUAAGAGUGCUGUAUUAGGAGAUAAACAAUAUAACUUGGGGGCCAUUGUUGCACGAAGGUUGCAUCUUAAUAGUUUAAGUGGAGACUUGUUUGGUGGAAUUUAUGCAACCUGUGUGGCUAAUUUUCUUGAGAUACCCAUACAUGAAAAUGAUAUGGAAUUGCCUCCGGCUUAUCUAGAAUUUAAUGAUAUGGUUCGCCAUCAGUUUGUUGAGAGGAAUGAACAAUCUCUCCAAUACCGACUAAUCUUUGACAUGCGUCGCACUGUCCAUGUUGCUCUCCCUGCUCCUACUUUUUUUGACUUUCAGGCAAAAGGGAGAUAUGUUAUAACCAGGGAGGAGGCGAACGAGUAUGAGAGGAGGACAGAGGCAGCUCGCCUCCAAGCUGCAGCUCAUCAGGCAAUAGCCGCUGCAUCUCAGUACGACCCCAGUUACAACUUCGGAUAUCCGCCAGGCCAGCCGUGGCCAUAGACCAACUUAGGCCAAAAGCCUAAGCUUGGGGGAGUACGUAUUUCUCACUGACAUUACAUUCAUGUUCACACACUCAUUCUAGUUGUCGGUGCUCAUACUUUUUCACUGUACUAUCCAUGCUAGUAGAUUUUAGCUAGUUUACUUUUCAUGCCUGUAGUAGUAGUAACUAAAAGAAAACCCAAAAAGAUUUCUCGUUCUUCUUUUGCUUGCUGGGAGCUUUACCGUGUAAAUAGUUUUAUUUCUUUUCUUUGGGGGUUGAGAGGAGAAGGCCAUAAUGAAAAUAUUGAGUGGCUCUUAUAUGCAUUAUUGCUGAUUUAACCAAGAGUCCAUAUUACCUUGUCUGCCCUUUUGUAUUAAAUGCUUGCAUAUUCCAGUUUCGUCUAAUGCACGUGCACUAUUAUUAUUAUCCACACUGUUCGGUCGUGCAAGUGAAAGGCAAUAAUGACGAUAUAUGAUGAAUUGAUUGAGAUGAGAGAAGCUGGUAUGAACUCGACCACUCUUGUUUUUGUAAAUAUGAUUAGUUCAUCAUUCCUGAUUCAGCCUAUUAUGAAUGAAACAUGUUUGCAAUGAUAAUUAGAGAUUAUAGUUGCUUAUGCCAUGCUUAAUUAGCUAGGAGUUUAUAAUAGUUUACCUUGCAUGCCAACAUGCUAUUAAAAUAGUUGUGACGUGGUAUGAUAGGGUGGUAUCCUCCUUUGAAGGAUUCGAGUGGCUCGACUUGGCACAUGUUCACGCAUGUAGUUGAAACAAAAUCAACAUAGCCUCCACGAUAUUUAUGUUCAUGGUGGAUUAUAUCCUACUCAUGCUUGCACUCAUUGUUUAUUAAUUUUAAUGCAUGUUCAUGACUGGUGUCGCUCUCUAGCUGGUCGCUUUCCAGUCUUUUUCUAGCAUUCACUUGUACUAAGCGGGAAUACUGCGUGUGCAUCCACUUCCAUAAACCCCAAAGUUAUUCCACAUGAGUCCACUAUACCUUCCUAUAUGUGGUAUCUACCUGCCGUUUCAAGUAAAUUUAUAUGUGCCAAACUCUAAACCUUCAAAUGAAAUUCUGUUGUGUAUGCUCGAAUAGCUCAUGUAUCAACUAGGGUUGUCUGUAUCUUCCAUGCUAGGCGGAUUAUUUUCAAGAGGAGUGGACUCCGCUCCUCACUCACGAGAAAAUGGCUGGUCACCGGGAUGCCCAGUCCCACGCUCAAACCAAAUCAAAAUAAUUGCAAACAAAACUCCCUCAGGACUGUUGUUAGUUGGAAGCACCCGUUGUUUCGGGCAAGCCAUGGAUUGAUGCUUGUUGGUGGUAGGGGAGUAUAAACAUUACCAUUCUGCUUGGGAACCACCUAUAAUGUGUGUAGCAUGGAAGAUAUCGAGAUCUCUCGGUUGUUAUGUUGACAAUGAAAGUAUGCCGCUCAAAAUAUUAUUUAUAUCUAUUUCCAAAAAUUGAGCUCUGGCACCUCUACAAAUCCCUACUUCCCUCUGCGAAGGGACUAUCUAUUUAUUUUUAUGUUGAGUCAUCAUCCUCUUAUUAAAAAGCACCAGUUGGAGAGCACCGCUAUCAUUUGCAUCCAUUAUCAUUAAUUUAUAUUGAGUAUGCUCUUUUACCAUGAAUAACAAUAUUUAGUCAGUCCUUGAUUUUCAGAGGUGCUCUGCAUUUAUGUUUUGCGGUCUCAGAAAGGGCUAGCGAGAUACCACCUUGUUAUAUCAUAUUAUGAUUGUUUUGAGAAAGUGUUGUCAUCCGAGAUUUAUUAUUAUUGCACGCUAGUUGAUUAGGUCAUUGAUAUGAGUAAACAUGAGACCUAUGUUAUUGUGAAUAUGGUUAGUUCAUAAUCUUUGCUGAAAACUUGAAUGCUGGCUUUACAUAUCUACAACAACAAGAGCAAACAGAGUUUGUAAAAGUUUUUCUUUAUCACUUUUAGUUUGUCAACUGAAUUACUUGAGGACAAGCAAAGAUUUAAGCUUGGGGAGUUGAUACGUCUCCAUCGUAUAUAUUUUUCCAAACACUUUUGCCCUUGUUUUGGACUCUAAAUUGUAUGAUUUGAAUGGAACUAAUCCGGACUGACGUUGUUUUCAGCAGAAUUGCCAUGGUGUUAUUUUUGUGCAGAAAUAAAAGUUCUCCGAAUGACCUGAAACUUCACGGAGAAUAUUUUUGGAAUUAAUAAAAAAUACUGGCGAAAAAAUCAAGACCAGGGGCCCACACCCUGUCCACGAGGGUGGGGGCACGCCCCCCUGCCUCGGGGGCCCCCUAGUGCUCCACCGACCUCAACUCCAACUCUAUAUAUUCACGUUCGGGGAGAAAAAAUCAAAGAGAAGGAUUCAUCGCGUUUUACGAUAUGGAGCCGCCGCCAAGCCCUAAUCUCUCUCGGGAGGGCUGAUCUGGAGUCCAUUCGGGGCUCCGGAGAGGGGAAUCCGUCGUCGUCAUCAUUAUCAACCUUCGUCCAUCACCAAUUUCAUGAUGCUCGCCGCCGUGCGUGAGUAAUUCCAUCGUAGGCUUGCUGGACGGUGAUGGGUUGGAUGAGAUUUAUCAUGUAAUCGAGUUAGUUUUGUUAGGGUUUGAUCCCUAGUAUCCAGUAUGUUCUGAUAUUAAUGUUGUUAUGACUUUGCUAUGCUUAAUGCUUGGUACUAGGGCCCGAGUGCCAUGAUUUCAGAUCUGAACCUAUUAUGUUUUCAUGAAUAUAUGUGAGUUCUUGAUCCUAUCUUGCAAGUCAAUAGUCACCUACUAUGUGUUAUGAUCCGGUAACCCCGAAGUGACAAUAAUCGGAACCACUCCCGGUGAUGACCGUAGUUUGAGGAGUUCAUGUAUUCACUAAGUGUUAAUGCUUUGGUCCGGUACUCUAUUAAAAGGAGGCCUUAAUAUCCCUUAGUUUCCAAUAGGACCCCGCUGCCACGGGAGGGUAGGAUAAAAGAUGUCAUGCAAGUUCUUUUCCAUAAGCAUGUAUGACUAUAUUCGGAAUACAUGCCUACAUUACAUUGAUGAACUGGAGCUAGUUCUGUGUCACCCUAUGUUAUAACUGUUGCAUGAAGAAUGGCAUCGACAUAAUUAUCCAUCACUGAUCCAAUGCCUACGAGCUUUUCACAUAUUGAUCUUUGCUUAGUUACUUUUCCAUUGCCAGUGUUACAAUUAGUACAAAACUAUUACUGUUACUUUUGCCACCGUUACCGUUACUUUCAUACUACUUUGCUACUAAAUACUUUGCUGCAGAUAUUAAGUCUUUCAGGUAUGGUUGAAUUGACAAUCAACUGCUAAUACUUGAGAAUAUUCUUUGGCUCCCCUUGUGUCGAAUCAAUAAAUUUGGGUUGAAUACUUUACCCUCGAAAACUGUUGCGAUCCCCUAUACUUGUGGGUUAUCACUCCUCGCGCCGUCCGCCGAAGUCCAAGCGCCGGACCAGGAAGGUCCCGACACGGACACGACCAGCACGCCCCACCAGCCGCCACCACUCCGCCGCCACCCCCACCAGCCCGGAGCCGAGGCAGGGGCAGCCGCCCGCAGAUCCUGUCGCCCGCGACCCACACCACUCUCCGCGCCAAGCCAGGAACCGGCCCAGGCCUCGCCGGACCCCGCCACUGCCCCCUGCCUCGUCGCAACAGCCGCNNNNNNNNNNNNNNNNNNNNNNNNNNNNNNNNNNNNNNNNNNNNNNNNNNNNNNNNNNNNNNNNNNNNNNNNNNNNNNNNNNNNNNNNNNNNNNNNNNNNNNNNNNNNNNNNNNNNNNNNNNNNNNNNNNNNNNNNNNNNNNNNNNNNNNNNNNNNNNNNNNNNNNNNNNNNNNNNNNNNNNNNNNNNNNNNNNNNNNNNNNNNNNNNNNNNNNNNNNNNNNNNNNNNNNNNNNNNNNNNNNNNNNNNNNNNNNNNNNNNNNNNNNNNNNNNNNNNNNNNNNNNNNNNNNNNNNNNNNNNNNNNNNNNNNNNNNNCGCAUGCCAAUAGCCACAGAACGUCUUUUUUCAAUGUGCAAACCCAUCUAAAAAUUUCAUCGCGAGAGUAUGUUUGCAAGCUGUAGAUUUCAAGUAUGGACGGAAAUAUAUCCCCGCAAUCCCCUAAAAGAAAUAUCUCCCAGCAGAAAGAAUGACUGAAACAAGGUGUGAAGCAUCGGAGAGUUCACGUGUUAUUUUUUUUAAAAAAAAAUUGCGGGAUGGAGAGUUCACGUGUUAGCCUCUGAAAAAAAAAAGUUCACGUGUAGCGUGUUAAGAAAAAAGGUUAAAAAACGGUGAAUCAAGCUACGAGCCAGUGGGUUGACGGGUCGAAUCACGGUCGGGUCGGAGGCUCUGUUUUUCAUGGGCCACAACUUGUGGUACGGCGCACUCGGCUCCCUGCCAUGUGGGCCAAGGGUCUCUGAACCCACGAGUCAGUGACAGGCGAGUGACCACCCUCUUCGGAAGCGGAACGCGGCCGAAAGGUAUUCAUCGGGAGGUGCAAAAGCCUAACGGUAACGGCCAAAAGGGGCCGGGGCAUCAGUUCCGAGGGCUCUGGGACGGCCGCGGCUGACAGGCGGGACCCACCGCUGAUUCCCUUCCGCACAAGUCAAGUCACCCGCUGAUGAGAAAUUAACGACGUCCUUUCGUACUGGAGGCCGUUGCACAUGGGGGACCUUUCAAGGACAGGGGCGGCGCGUGCUAGGGGUGCUGGUCUGGACUCUGGACGGUGGAUUUACCUUAGCCUGACGCGCCGGGACCACCGCCGGUGGACCAGGUUGUCAUUGGCAUGCGGUAGGUAGUAAAACGAGAGAAAGGUCACGGGCUGACGGGCCCGCGCCGCGCUGCGCAUGGGUAGAAAGUGAAAAAAGCUGGCGCGGAAGAGGGGUCAGUGCCCCUGACAGCGCCAGGACCCUGUGUAAACUUUCGCAUCGGGAUCCUCACCAGCGGUGAAGGCAUCAAAACUUGUUGGAAAGCGAAAGCAAUUCACCUACUCCAGUACCGAUGGUUAAGCCAACUCCAUCCGAAUUUCUCAGUUCGCGGCGGCAAAACGUAUGCCUAUGUCCGGUUUUACCCGUUCGCAAAAACACACGGUCCAUCGCAACUUGUCCGCAUCAUUUCAAAACAAAGGCGCCCACACAUUUGAACAUAAAUUUAAAACUGUUCAAACUAGUCUCCGACACACAGUUAACUUAAACUUAAAAAACAAAAAGAAAACAUAUAUUUAGACGUCGUUGCCGCUGCCGUGGCCAUCUUGGAUGUUGUCGUCGUCUUCACGCCUCGCCGUCCUCGUCGUCGUCCAUGGUGAGGUCGACGUACGGUGGUGGCGUUCAGAGGUGGGUUGGAGGCGUGUGUGGGAGCUGCCAGGUCGGCCCCGCCUGCACCAUCUCUUCCGGUGGCGGCGACGGCUCCGGUGAGAGUGGACGCGUGGGUGCCCAUGGCUCGGUGCCCACCCAGUCGUCCAUCUCCUCCGCUGUGGACGACCACAUCCACCUCCGGCCCAUCAUGCGCGGGUUCGACUCGCUGACGGGGGGCUCCUCCCGCACCUCCUCCUUGAUGGCCAUUUCUGGGAUGGCGACGUCGCCGGCCACAGAGAGGGCCAAUUGGGUUUCGAGGCCCUCCCAUCGGCGUUCGUCGUGGGCGUUGAUGGAGUCCUCCAUCACCUGUCGGAUGAGCUCGGUUCCGUCCUCUUAGGUCAUGGGAGGUGGUGGUGGCGGGGACGGGGAAAGAGACAUCAUCGGCGUGAGGCCUCGCACCCGCGUACGCCCCGAGCUGCUGGGGCGGGCUCAGAGCACGCGAGUGGCGGGCAUGACCCACUUGUCGAGGAGCCACGUAUCCCACCGUGGCGAACCCACCAAUCAAUGGCAGGCGGGCGUGGCUUCGAUCGAUCUCCUUACGCCUUGGGCGGCCGCUCGCCGAGACUGGUGGGAUCGGCACCCUAUCCGCGAAGAGAUGCCAAUUGUUGGGGAUGUGGACAUUGCUCAACGGGAGGGGCUUCGCCGUCUCCCAAUAGCGUCGGCAAAUGUCGGCCCCGACGUAGGGCCGAAUGCGCUGCGGGGCCACCGACGACUAGGUGCUCAACGCGGGCUGCGCAGGCGGUGGGGAGCGGGUGGAGCGGUGGUGACCGGAGGAGGACCCGACCUCGUCGUCGUGCCUCCCCUUGUGGCCAGAGUUCCACUAGACCAUGGUGCCCGACGAGGCGGUGGAUGAGAAGAGGAGGAGGAAGAGCGGUGAGGAUGAACUAGGGUUUGGUGUCAGGGCUCAAGGAGGCACGUGGGACGAGUGUGGAAGCAUGGCCCGGCCGAUCCACAGCUUCCACAUUAAGAAGGACGGCGACCGCUGUUCAUGGGUGGCUGGCAAGUGGGUCCGUCCACUUAUCCGCACUAUAUAUGGGCAGUGGGAGGUAAGUGGGCAGCCGACAGGAGGGCCCGAGGCGGACGAGUAGCGGGUGUGUGGGCAUUUGUUCAAUGUCUGUUUAGACGCAAAUCAGGCACAGGUUUACGCUGAAAAUGGGUUGAGCCUGUUGGAAAUAUGAACAAUUUACCGAAUGAUUUUAUUAACAGAAAUACUAGAUAAAGCAUGACCAGAAUGGUAGUGAUAAAACAAGCCAUGCGAUUUGACAAAGAGAAGGUAAACAACAUCUUCAUAUAUGAACUGUAACUAAACAUAUCUAGAGCAGACAGUAUAGCAAGUUUCAUAUAUGAAAUAGAGUCUAACAUAUCUAGGGCAAAUACUAGAACAAGGAACUGUAGCAGGACCUCUAAUAGAAAGGAGAAGAACACGUACGGGACAGCAGCAGCAAAAGCACUGGACUUGGGAUCGGUGUCCUCGCCUGCCAUGUCGCCGAGGAGGUCGUGGACGUCGGGGAAGAAGUCGUCGUCGGGGAAGUAGUCGUCGGCGACCGGAUCGUCCGUGAUGAAGUAGCCAGUAGUCGCGCUGAGCGCUACCCAAAAACCUGAUCACCCUUCUCCCGUACAUGACUCAAAAUGUGCGGUUUCGGAGGCCUACUGUCCCGACGUGCGGUGCACGCCGCAAGCCGGGAUGAGGAAGACAGCAGCAGCUCAGAGAAGGAACCGAUGGCGAGGGAAGGAGUAGUUCUGGUCCGUCUCUCUGGGAGGAGCGACCUCCCUUUUAUAGGCGCAAGAGAAGGAGGCGAGAGGGCAGCGACAGGAGGCGAAACGAAGAGACGGAGAUGAAGCGAACAGCCAGCAGCCGAAGGGCUGCAUUCGAACUCCACUUUCGCAAAAAUCUUUUCAGCUUCCGUGUAACCUUUCGUAUACCCGUAGUGUGUGGCAAAAAUUUAGACAUCGACUCGUUCUCGCAACCCGCGGCGCGGCGCGUCGUGACGAGGCGUGGCGUGGCGUGGCGAGGCGGGCGGCGGAGGAGGAGUGCGCGUGGAUGUCCCUCUUGUUCUCAUGCUCAUACAAGUGGGGAAAGAACCUCCCCUAUAAAGAGGUCCAACUCCAUCUAAACUAGCAAUGUGGGACUAAACUUUAGUUCCACCUCUUGCCUUGCACGAAUGGGCUGCGUGGGCCUCUAGGAUUUAUUAAGAAUUUCUGAAACUGCUAUUGGGCUAGACCCAAAAUAGACAAAAUUCCAGCAAUCCCCCACCAGAUCCCAGAGGCACACAAAAAUUGCCUUUGGUUCCAAAACAAUGUUUUAUAUACUGAUACUGCAGUGGAGACUGUUAAGUUGAACUUCCACCUAGAACUCUAUGCUACACUAGUAAGCAACUUGAACAGUGGACUGGUCCUUGAACUGCAAGUUUUCUGUGAAUCUAGCUUCACAUAAAGCCUCGAUGCGUGGCUACCGUGGGUCUUCCCCGCGGGUGGAGCUUAUGCGUCAUACUCCGAGACCUUUCAUGAGUUUACUAGAGAGAACCCUACUCUCAUAGAUUGUGACGUUUAACAAUCAGACUCAUAUAGGUGUGUUCUUCAAAAGAUGUUCUGCAGGAUAACAUCUCUGCUUAAAUGAGCCACUUAGAACACAUUAAGAUAUACAUCAACCUCCCAUGCAGAUUAGGAGAGUAUUGCAUCUUCAUGGAGUGGUAUUGUAAAUAGUAAGGAUACUCUCCUCUUAGUUGACCAACAGCUUGUCUUCCACAUCUAAUUCACGGGAUCUCCGAUCACAAAGAAUAGGUUACCACUGUGAACAACUCAUAUUGUGGGUCUCAUACCCAUCUCCCUCGAUGCAUUAUCUAUCACAUUACGUGAUAGACCCUUAGUAAAAGGAUCUGCCAGAUUUUUAGAUGUUUGGAUAUAAUCCAAUGAAAUAACUCCGGAGUUUUUCAUUUUCCUGACAUACUUUAACCUUCUCUGAACGUGUCUUGAUGACUUCAUGUUAUCCUUUGAGAUGCUCACUUUCGUGAUCACAGUUUGAUUGUCGCAGUUCAUAAGGAUACCCGGUACAGGUUUCUUAACAACCGACAAGUCAUUCAAGAGCCGGCGAAGCCAAUCUGCUUCGACCGUAGCUGUAUCUAGUGUUGUAAGUUUUGCUUCCAUUGUUGACCUCGUUAAGAUGGUCUGCAUGCAAGACUUCCAAGAAACAGCGCCACCUCCAUGAGUGAAUACAUAUCCGCUCGUGGCCUUUAUCUCAUCAGCAUCUGAGAUCCAGUUUGAGUCACUAUACCCUUCAAGCACCUUUGGGUGCCCGGUGUAGUGAAUUCCAUAAUUCGCAGUGCCUUUCAAAUAACACAAAACUCUCUCUAGAGCUUUCCAAUGCACAUCUCCUGGUUUUGGGACAAACCGACUCAGUUUGCUAAUAGCAAAACAGAUGUCAGGUCUUGUAGCACUGGCUAAGUACAUAAGCGAGUCAAUAAUAUGAGAAUAUUUCAAUUGAUCUCUAGCAAUUCUUCAAUUCUUUCGAAGUAACACACUCGCAUCAUAUGGUGUUGGAGAGGGCUUGCAGUCACUAUAGCCAAAGCGACUCAAGAUCUUUUCCACAUAGUGAGAUUGAAGCAAUGUGAUCCCACCAUCAUCGUCUCUUAACAACUUGAUGUUCAGAAUGACAUCAGCCACUCCUAAAUCUUUCAUCUCAAAACAGCGAGAUAGAAAAUCCUUGACCUCCUUAAUAACAUUCAGAUUCGUUCCGAAAAUCAGUAUGUCAUCAACAUACAAGCAAAGGAUAACUCCCUCGCCCCCACCAUGGCGAUAGUACACACAUUUGUCAGCUUCGUUUACAACAAAGCCUGCAGUUGUUAAAGUUCUUUCAAACUUCUCAUGCCACUGUUUGGGUGCUUGCUUGAGUCCAUACAAACACUUCAGCAACUUGCACACUUUUCCUUCCUGACCAUCUAGUACAAAUCCAUCUGGUUGUUCCAUAUAAAUUUCCUCGUCUAACUCUCCAUUUAGGAAAGCAGUCUUAACAUCCAUUUGAUGAAUGAGAAGACCAUGCGAGGUAGCUAGCGAAAGUAGAACUCGAAUAGUGGUCAGUCGAGCCACAGGUGAGUAAGUAUCAAGGAAAUCUUCACCUUUCUUUUGGGUAUAACCCUUAGCCACGAGCCGAGCCUUGUACUUUUCAAUAGUACCAUCAGGCCUAAGCUUCUUCUUGAAUACCCAUUUGCAUCCUAUAGGUUUGCACCCAUAAGGACGAUCAGUUAUCUCCCAAAUUUCAUUCGCCAAGAUGGAAUCCAUCUCGCUAUGAACUGCUUCCUUCCAAUAGUCAGCGUCUUCAGAUGCAUAGGCCUCUGAAAUAGAACUGAGAGUCUCAUCUAUGAGAUACACAAGAAUCAUCACCAAAGGACUUUGCAGUCCUCUGUCUCUUGCUCCUAGUAGGAACUUCAUUGUUCUCCUCCACAGGACUUUCAAAGUAUUCCAUCGAAAUGGCAGGUUUGAUAAUUGUAACUGGUUCCUGAUUCGAUGAACUAGGCAUCUCCUGAUUAGAUGAGGUAGCCAUAUCCAUCAUGGGAAAGAUAUCUUCAAAGAAAGUCGCAUCAUUCGACUCCAUGAUCGUACCGACAUGCAUGUCAGGUACCUCAGAUUUUACAAUCAAGAAUCUAUAGCCAAUGCUAUGAAAAGCAUAUCACAGGAAAACACAAUCCACAGUCUUUGGUCCAAGCUUCCGCUUCUUUGGAAUUGGAACAUUGACUUUCGCCAAACAACCCCAUGUUCGUAGAUAAGAGAGUUUUAACUUUUUCUUCUCCCAUUCCUCGAAUGGAGUUAUCUCUUUGUUCUUUGUGGGAACUCGGUUUAGGACAUGCCAUCAAUAUCGCCUCCCCACACCAUGCCUUGGAGAGACCCGAUGUGUCUAACAUGGCGUUAACCAAAUCAGUUAGAGUACGGUUCUUUCUUUCGGCCACCCCAUUUGACUGAGGUGAGUAGGGAGGCGUCCUCUCAUGGAUUAUACCAUGUUCCGCACAAAAAGCAUCAAAUUCAUUGGAAAAAUACUCUCCACCACGGUCGGACCUAAGCCUCUUGAUUUUUCGAUCAAGUUGGUUUUCCACUUCAGCUUUAUAGAUCUUGAAAAAGUUCAAAGCCUCAACCUUAGAUUUCAGAAGAUACACACGACAGUAUCUAGUGAAGUUGUCAAUUAACGUCAUGAAAUAUUUCUUUCCACCUUUUGUCAAAACACCAUUCAUUUUACAUACAUCUGAAUGUAUGAGCUCUAGUGGUGCAAGAUUUCUCGUUUUCACAGUCAUGUGAGACUUACGAGGUUGCUUAGCUUGCACACAAACUUGACACAUAGAUCCCUUGACAGUGGUGAAACUAGGGAUUAAGUUCAACUUCGCCAGUCGCGACAUGCAACCAAAGUUAACAUGACAAAGACGUGAAUGCCACACAUUUGAUUCACUAUUGUUGCAAAUAUAAUUAACAACUUUAUUGCAAACGUAUGAUAAGGAUAAAUGAAACAGGCCUCCUGACUCAUAGCCUUUACCAACGAAGAUUCCAUACUUGGAUAUUACAAAUUUAUUCGACUCAAAGACAAGCUUGUAGCCAUCUCUACACAGAAGAGAUCCGCUAACAAGAUUUUUAUUGACGGAGGGGACAUAAUGCACGUUCUUCAGCCGCAUGAUCUUCCCCGAAGUAAACUUCAGAUCGACCGUGCCAACACCACGAACAGAAGCACUUGAACCGUUGCCCAUCAGCACGGUUGAAGUCCCUGCGGUCUGAUAAGACGAAAACAUGAAAAUAUCACCGCAUACAUGCACAUUAGCACCCGUGUCAAUCAACCAAUCAGGAGAAUGACAUACUGAAAGAAUAGUGGGAAAUAUACCAUACCCAUCAUCCUUCAUGUCAGUGUCUCCAAUGACAACAUUAGCGGUCUUGCUGCCUUUCCCAGGGUGACGCUUGUCAUAGCGAUUAGGGCAACUAGGGGCCCAAUGAUCAGGAUCGCCACACACAUGACAAGCACAUUUCUUCUUGUCAUUCUUCUUCUUGAAGUUUGUGUGCUGCACAGCUUUGUUCUUCCCAUCAAACUUUGCUUUACCAUCAAACUUGCCCUUGUUCUUGAAUUUGUGGGGCUGGAAGUUCUUCUUCUGCACCAGAUUGGCACUAGAUCCUUCCUCAAUACCUCGAGCACGUGUAUCCUUUGCUCUCGCCUUUUCUUCCACAUCAAUAGUGCCAAUGAGAUCCGGGACGGAAAACUCCUGUCUCUUAUGCUUCAGUAAGGUAGCAAAGUUCCUCCACGAAGGAGGAAGCUUAGUGAUGAUACCUCCGGCAACAAACUUGUCCGGUAGCAUACAACUGAAGUGCUCAAAUUCUCUAGCAAAUGACUGUAUCUCAUGAGCUUGCUCAACCACGGAGCGCUCUUCAGUCAUCCUGUAAUCAUAGAAUUGCUCCAUGAUGUACAGCUCAGUGCGAGCAUCCGAGACCCCAAACUUGGCCUCGAGUGCAUCCCACAUAUCUUUUCCAUUAUCAAUUGACGCAUAAGCAUCAAUUAUGUUCCCACCAAGAACACUCAAGAGAGCAGCCUUAAACAGAGUAUCCAUUUUCUGAAAAGCUUGUGCGUGUUGAGCAUCAAGCUCUCCUUCAGGUUUGCCGAGAGUGGCGUCAUAGCGACUCAUGGUUUGAAACCAUAAGACUGCUCUCACGCGCCACCUCUUAUAGUGGAUACCCUCAAACAUAUGAGGUCUCAUGAAAGCAUCAAAACCACUCGGGGUAAAUUGCCUAUAAUAAGGUUUUUGGAUUGUUGGAAAUAUGAACAAUUUAUCAAAUGAUUUUAUUAACAGAAAUACUAGAUAAAACAUGACCAGAAUAGUAGUGAUAAAACAAGCCAUGCGAUUUGACAAAGAGAAGGUAAACAACAUCUUUAUAUAUGAAACUUUCCCCAAAAAUCUUAUCACCCUUCUCCCGUACAGGACUGCAACCUGCGUCGUGGCGAGGCAUGGCGUGGCGUGGCAGGCAGCGGAGGAGGAGCUUGCGUGGAUGUCCCUCUUGUUCUCAUGUUCAUACAAGUGGGGAAAGAACCUCCCUUAUAAAGAGGUCCAACUCCCUCUAAACUAGCAAUGUGGGACUAAACUUUAGUUCCACCUCUUGCCUUACACGAAUGGGCUGCGUGGGCCUCUAGGAUUUAUUAAAAAUUUCUGAAACUGCUAUUGGGCUAGGCCCAAAAUAGACAAAAUUGCAGCAAAGCCGGACGCGAAACAGAGUUUUUUACGGACAGGUCACGUGUUGGGCCGUCGCUUCUUUCCGUUUGAGCCAAAACGGACGCGGCUGGAUAGGACGGGGUCUAGUGUUGGAGUUUGCGUGAGUAUCGCGUUGCUCGGCCGAUGAGACAGGCCCGAGCUACUGUGGCUUGCAUGUGCGAUUCUACCGAGCUGGUACAACUUUGGGAACCGCGCAACACACAACAUGCAACGCAACGCAACGCACAACAUGCAGGAGUAGUAUCUCAGAUACAGCGGCCGGCCGAACACACAGGCCAACAUGACCGUUGAUUGAGGACGCACAUGCCGGUCAAUGCCCGCAUGAGAUCCAGAACGGAUCAUUCUCCCUCCCUCCCUCCCGGCCGCUCAAAUACUUGCAUAAAUUCAAACUCAAAAAAGGGAAUCCAAUGACGAUGAUAGAUCGAUCGCCAUGAUUACCCAGGAGGUUUAAGCAAGUCCCAGGCGUGCCAAGUAAGUACGGUUUAGGUUGUCAACUUGUCAUAAAGCCCAACGGUCAAGGGGACACUGCAUCGAUCUUCUAUCAACCUACGCGUCGGACAUAUGGACGUGGCAUGCGUGCGUACGCUUGCUCGUACCCACGGACCUUGUGCCGUAGCAGCUGCAGCAGCACAAUAAUGCAGCCGGAGCGGCGACGCCACCACACCUGCGUACGUACCCUCGCGCGCAGUGGACAGAUAAUUGCGAUUUGCGGCUGGUUUUGCGGGGGGUCGCUGUCCUGGUAUGCCCGGCUGAGCCCGUCCGUCCGUCCGUCCGAUCCAUCGCGGGACAGCGCAGCGCAUCAACGAUGGACAAACAGAUCGGCUGUGCCGCGUAUGUGCUACGUGCUGGUACUGCUACAGUGCCCUGGCCCAGCCAACUCCAACUCGAAUUCAAACGCCAUAUGUAUGUAUGUAUGCAAUGCACGCUGCUGCCUGGCUUCAUUGUCUCACCACAUUUGUUUGGGUGCGCUUUAAUUUUACAUCUAUCUAUGCAACCAAAUUCUAAGGGCCACAUUGUUCUGCGCUGUCAUUGAUUGCUUGAUCGAAUUUAAGCGGUUUUUGUUUUUGUGAAUGGAUGCAGAUGUUAACGCAGCAGAUGAUUGAAUAAGAGACCAAAAAGCUGGAGUACAACCUCCGGUGUCUCCUUUCCCACAAAAUCGGCCAGCUUGCGCAAUGCUUGCAUUCGUUUCGUUUUUUUUUUUGCAUGGCAUUCGUUUCGAUUGAAACGCUUUUUUUUUCGAGGCCAAAAAGUGAGGUACUACUCCCUCCGUUAUAAAAUAUAAUGCUUUCUUCCCAUGCUUCAACUUUGUACAUAAAUUUAACCAACGAGACCGACUGCGGCGGGAGCAAAAGUUAUGCCAGUGAAUUGGUAUUCAAAAGAAGUUUUCAAUUAUAUAAAUUUUCUCCCACCACAGUCGGUCUCAUUGGUUAAUUUUAUGGUCAAAGUUGGACCUCAAAAAACGCGGGCGCACUAUAUUUUGAAAUGGAGGGAGUACUAAUUUGGUAUCUAGCAACUCCAAUGGGGCGACCCAUUUCGUCCGCUAGCGUCCGUUUGGGUUGGCGCGAACACAAAAGGCGGCCCAACGCACCGACCUAAACGGACGCGCGCCCGCUUGUCGUUCGCAUGCCGACCCAUUCCCGACCAAUUUCUGAGCCGGAUUUGCGUCGGCAAGGACACGAGACGGACGGGCUGGUCGGUGGCAGCCUCCACCAUUACCCUCCAUUUUCCCCAAAACCCUCCCGCCCGCGCAUGCACCCGCCCCACACCCGCCAUGGACGAUGACCUCGACCUCGACGCCGCCGCCGGCCUCGCCUCCCUCGCCUCGUCCGGCAUGACGACCGCCCCUCCGGUAAAAGCAAUGCUCGCGCCUCGCGCCCCGUGCAAGACCGCCGCCGCGCCCAAGCCAAAGAAGGCACUGACGCCCGAACAGCGGGCAAGGGAGUCGGCCAAGAGGAAUGGCCGGAGGCACGCCGCAGACGCGAGGGAUGAAGCCGUCGCUGUCGCUGCUGUCGCAGCCGCCGUGCAGCAGGAGGUCACCAACGCCCGCGUCGCGGCGGCAACGAGGGAGGAGCUCUAUAUGCUAGGGUUAAACCCUAGCCAGCACGGCCCCGUCAACACCGCCAUGGCCGCCGCGGCCAACACCAGCUCAUCCGCGUUCCCUCGGAUGGUGCUGCCCAACUCGCCCCGCGCGUCGGCUUGCACCCCGAUGCCCGACUUCCACGUGUACACGCAGGUCUCCCGCCUCUCCAGGGAGUGCUUGCCCGACGUGACCGUGGUGGCGCCUUCCACGCCUGCGCCCGCGCCCAUCGACCUCAACGCCAUACCGGUGGCCGGUGGCUCGUCAUCCGGGGGCGCGAGGAAACGCGCGCGGCAGAUGCCGGCGACGUGCUGCCGGACGCCCGCAACCUGUUCGACGGAAUGCCGGCCGCCGGCAACGAGGACUACAUGCAGAACCUCGUCUUCAAGGGUGGUGCGCCGGCCGCUGGCUACGAUCCCAACGAGACACAAAGCCAGGACGGCCGCGGGGCGUUCACGCCGGCCGCUGGCUAUGAUCCCGAUCAGGCGGCCUUCAUGCCUGAUCAGGUCGGCAUAGACCUGGACGGCUUCCCACUUGACCAAGAGUUUUCGGACGACUACGGGCAAGAGGAAGUGGACGAGUGCGACAUCGAAGUGGAGCCUUUGUUCGAGGACGAGCUCGCCAACCAAGCCACCGGGCCGAAGCUGAAGCGCAAGAGCAAGCGGACGAAGGCAUACACGGGGGCCGAGAACAAGCUUCUUUGCGGGUGUUGGCGAGACAUUGGACAAGACCCCAAGACGGGCGCCAAACAAAAGCAUUCAACUUUUUGGAUUCGUGUCCACCAGGAGUUUCAUGAGCGCAAAAAAGUUUCCGCCUUACCCAACAGUGAGCACGUGCGGGUGGGUGUCCAUUUCGAAGCGAUGGAGGGUGAUCCAACAAGAGUGCAACAAGUUUUGUGCCACUCUUGAAAGCGUUAAGGCCCGCCCCGUGAGCGGCAUCGGCAUGCAAGACAUGGUAUGCGAGCAAGCCGCCCUCUUUUGUGUCUUCAAGUUUAUGCUUGCGUGUUCAUUUGCAUACCGUUUGCCAAUAUGCUUGCAUGACAUACAUUUGUAGGCGUUUCAAGUUUUGGAGGUAUUCAAGGUCCAACACAACGGCAAGUGCUUCAACCUCUCCCAUUGCUUUAGAGUCAUCAAAGACGAGGAGAAGUUGAAGGAGCAAUAUGCCGCCCUCAAGUCGCGUGGGGGGAAGCAAGCCGUGGAGGAGGUUGGGGACGGCGAGCCGGCACAGCCGCGGGGGAAGACCAACUCCAAGAAGGAGGACAAGGGGGAUGUGGCAUUGAACGCUUUGAUCGCAAGCAUGGAGGGCAUGAUGAAUAAGAAGGACUCAAGGGAGGAGGAGCGCCGACGUUUCAAAGAAGAGCAAAUGAACGCCUUCAUGGAGAUCCAAAGGAGGAGGCUUGAGAUGGACGCAGAGAAGCAAGCCAAGAUGCUUGAGAUGGAGGUGGAGAAGCAAGCCAAGAUGCUAGAGAUCGAGGACGCCAACGCCAAGACCAAGGCGAAAGAAGUGGCUCUCGCGAGCAUGAUGACCCGGGUGGAGAUCAUGAAGGUGGAUCUCAACACCGUGUCGCCAAGGAAGAGGCCAUGGUUCGAGAAGAUGCAGGCCGACAUGAUCAAGUUCACCGACAAGUGAUCUCGUGACCGCGAGCGCCUUCCUUUUUUGUAUGACGGCUUGUGUGCUGGCAUGACCACGGGGCCGCGAUGGCGUGGUCGAACUCAAGUCCCACCCCUUUUUGUGUGUUGGCAUGUGUGCCGGCCGCUGGCAAAUGCGCCAGCAUUAACUGUGUGGUGAUAUUUUUUGAAGCCGGCAAUGUAUGCCAACGUUGGCACCGUUCCGGCACGAGACAUGGCCGCUGGCAAUGAUCUAUGGCCGCACUGCCGACUCAAAUGUAAAACAAGACUGACGUCCAGCGGGCGACCGACACAAACGAACAAAAAGCGGACAAAUGCGCCGUCCAUUUUGGGUCGGCCCGUUAGAGUUUGCUCUAAACACCCUGUAGAAAAAAGCGGUGCCUAAACUCAGAUGAUGUGCUUACCAAAUAAGCGCUCCGCUGGACACACUAUAUCAUAAACCUGCCAUAAAGCUGCUCUAUCCUAAUUUAUGCUAGUACUAGUAACGCGUUGUCAUAUUGGAUACGGAUAGAGUGAACAGCUCAGGAAAGAUUGCGUCCGGAUCAUCGCUCUGUCACGCCCACUAAGGCUGGUUGGUGCGUCCAUCAUGGAUUUGUGUCAUCCUUCUUCUUUCCGGUGACAGCGAAAACGCUAGCGUGGAAUUGUAUAAGAGAACGGUCUUUUCGGCUGAUCCUACUGCCUAGUACGUUUCAAAAUAGAUGAUUUAACUUUAUACGAACUUUAGGUGGGAGUAUUUGCAUAAAACUUUUCACCGGUUGAGUCGGAUCAGGGCCUCUGGCAAUGGAACUUGGCUAUUGAAAUGAUGCAUCGGUGGAUCCAUGACUGGUGCGUAGCUUUUUCGAGCCAUGAGCCCGGCACCAACGGGGUUACGGAUUUUGACGGGUCAUGCUUUGCAGUGCUCCUCGAUCGACAUUGAACAGAAGGCCGUGUGUUGAUGGCUUGACGCUGGAUAAUGAGUAGCUAGAAGAUUGAGAUUGCGCACAGGCACAGGAAACAUCUCUUUCAGAGUGACAUCAACAGCGACGGCCAACGAGAUUUGUCUGCACAUUUUCUAGGUGAAAAGCACGGUUUACAAUAGUUGAUUUUCCGUCGGAAAGAUCAUCUAUAUCUGUUGAUCUGUCACGUUUGCUACAUGUUUUCGCCUGUACUAAAUCAUCCAUCCAUCCAUCCAUCCAUCCAUCCAUCAUAGUCUAACAAUGAUCUAUAGAUUAGUACCAGAAUAAAAUCAUCUACUACUGCCCUGCUCUGAUUGACGAGAAACUUAGGACGCCGCGGAGAUGGUCCUGCGGCCGUUUGUUUAUCUUCGGUGUCGCCGCUCCCUGAACAUUUUUCGUUACAUGCGUGUGCGGCGGGGUGUACAUAUGGAUCUCCAGAUGUCGCCAACACAAGCGAUUGCGCCAAUCUCCACAUGCCGUGAUACUACCUUCCAAAUUGUACUUGCAUUAGUUGCUUCGAGAUUAACAAUUCAUAUCCGUUGAAUUCCUUCCUCCGGCGCAAGUGUGCAGUGCAAAGCUACAAUUCCAAGAGCAUGAACAUAGCCGAUUGGUGUGGUAGGUUGGAUUUUAUUAAGGCGAGGGCGAGGGUGGCUACCUUCCACAUGGCCCUCGUACUUCAGAUGCUGUUUGGGUACUCUCGACGGAAGGACACAAGCUUUAUGCCACAAUUUCGGCCGCAUCCAUCCACAUGGGCCGGUGGCUAAUAAGCCGUGGGAGAUUUCCCAGGAAAGAGCCGGCUCUGUUUUGUUCUAUGAACCAUGAUGCGCAUUGUUUCCACUAGUACAACUUUGGGCCUAGAUAAGUUAAGGAGAGUUUGUUUGACCAUAUUGCUAGAGUGUUGUUGAGAACGGAGCUUCUUGUGUGCGGUGAAAAAUGUCAAUCGGGACAAGCUCAAAAAACAACUCUUCCAAUUGUCAAUACUACUGUAUCUGUACUGUGCACCUAGUCCUGUAUGUUAGCACUAUCAUUAGCCUUUCUGCCGAUGCUGCCAAUGUCCAGAAAAUCAUCUACUAUGGCAGGUUCCGUGAACAUAGUCACACCCUGCCAUGAUUUAAGCUGGCUGCUCAAUUGGCGUUUGGUGAAUGCGGCCAAUCUAAUCCGCCGCAGCAACCAGGAAGCAGAUGGAUAGCAACACCAUAUUUAUUUAUUUAUUUAUUUAUUGAUGCAUUAGACGAACAAUCAUCAGCGUGCAUGACAGUGUACCACUGGUGUCUGGAUCCACUGUUGGCCCCUAGUAUUCGCAUACCAACAAAACAGCUCCAACAGUAAGGCAUCUUCUCUGCUCUGGUGCAACUGCAACUCAUUGCCAACGAUGGAGGAAAAUUAGAAUAUGCAUCCGACGAUUUUCUUUGAGUUUCCAACAGCCUACGUAUACAGUUUUGAUUUCUUCUUGUCCGUGAAAGACACGGAUGAUUGCAAAGAUUACAGCAAGUUUGUCCGGCAGAGGAGCCUCGCAUUCUCGCUAUAAAAUCCUACUAGCAGGCAUUUUCAGUGAAGGCCCCAAUGAUGAGCAGGAAUAGGUUGGAUUCGGCCGCGGUAGCUAUAUCCCGCUUGCAGCGAGAUGUAAGCUCCCGGCUGAAGCUUUCCCCAUAUCGCUAUAGUAACAGGACGGCCCUUUAUCUAUCGCAUCGGUAGUUCGCUCGCUCCCAUCGCUGGUUUCCUUCACUUCAUAUUUUUGGCUCGUUCAUUUUUUCGCUCGCUCACUCGUUUUUCUCUUUAAUUUUAUUUGUUUCUUUUUUGGUAUAUUUUUGUUUUCUCUGUUUUCUUCGUUUGUAUUACUAGUUUCUUCGUUUCUUUAUCGGUUUCAACUAGUUUUCCCCCUUUUCUCCGUUAUUUUUUUGUUUCUUUCCUGCUUUUCACUGGUUUCUUUUUCUUUCUUAUUUACUUCAUUUUUUCUUCAGUUUCUUUGUUCGUUUCUUGGUUUUGAUCGGCUUCUGACAGUUUCCUUUGUCUUUAUCUCGGUUUCACUAUUUUUCAUUAUUUAAUUCUUGGUUUUUCCUGCUUCUUUGUUUCCUUAUAUUUCUUUAUUUUUUCUUGGUUUUCAAUACACAUUCAACAUUUUUCGUAUACAUUAGACGAAUUUUCUAUUUAGAUGUUUAACACUUUGAAAUACAUGAUUAUCAUUUUUUCUGAAAUCUUAUAUCUUUUAUGUCUACCUUUUCCAUACACAUCAUACAUUUUUGGUAUAUAUGUAAUACGUUUUUCUAAUAGCUUACAUUUUUCAAAUACAAGUUAAACAUUUUAAAAUACAUGAUCAACUUUUUUCCUAUGUACAUUUUUUACAUUUUCAAAUGCUUGAUUAAUUUUUUUAAAAUACAAGAUUAACACUUUUUGACACAUGAUUAACUUUUUUCUAUACAUUUUAUUUUUUCUACAAAUGCUUGAUUAAUAUUUUUCAAAUACAAGAGUAACAAUUUUGAAAUACAUGAUCAACAUUUAUUCUGUACACACUUAAAAAAAUUUAAUUCAUUUUUUUGAAUACAUGGUCAUCAUUAUUCUAUACAUUUUAACAUCUUUUGCAAAUGCUACAUUAGAAAUUUUCAAAUGGAAGAUUAAUAUUUUUUAAAUACAUAUUCAACAUUUAUUAUGUAAACAUUUCACAAUUUUCAACUCUUGAUUAACAUUUUUUAAAUACUUGCUCGACGUUUUCUCAAAUGAUAGAUUAACAAUUUUCUAAUACAGCAUCAAUUUUUUUAAACACAUUGUAUUUUUAAUUCAUUUUUCGUAUACAUGAGAAACAUUUUUAACACACAUUUAACAUUUUUCAAAUGCUUGGUUGACAUUUUUUAAUGUCUUAUGUAGGGUGUUUUUUGGUAAUAUAUAUCUGGAAUAACUGGAAGUACAAAAAAGUGAAAAUAAUAAAGCAAAACAUGAAACAAAAAAGGUAAAAACAAAACAGAAAAAACGAGGUUGUGACCUCCUAUGCACCUGGGCCGGCACACCUGGAGCUCACCUUCACGUGAAGGAUGCGUACAUCUUGCAAUUAGUGACACAUAGUGUUGCCCGGAUUUGGUUUCCUCCCAAUAUUCUGCGUUGUAGCAAAAUGAGUAGUUCCCGUUUGAAUUGACCAUAGAGGCAGGUGGUUUUCUAUUUAUAUAUUUGAGGUUCUUAAUGUGUGUAAAAAAUGAUCCUAACAUCAAGCGACCCUCAGAUAUAGGGCUGUGUGCAAAUAGCGAUUUCAUCCCAACUCCGAUUCGGUGCAUUCUGCAAAGUGGCGCACACGCCUAACACUGCUAUCUAAAAGGGCUGACCCAUGUAGACUUUUUCAUUUCCUUUUUCAUGUUUCAUUUUUAUGAAAUUCAUGAACUUUUUUCAGAUCUGAAUCCCGUUUUCAAUUGUUUUGUGAAUUUUUUUAUUUUCAAAUCAGUGAACUUUUUCACGAAUUAGUAAUUGUUUUCCCAUAUUUCGUGAACUUUUUGGAUUAAGAUUUUUUUAAAAUAUUUUGAACUUUUUAUUCGACUUUGUGAUCUUUUGUGAUAAUUUUUGUGAUCAUUUUCAUUUUUAUGAACUUUCCAAGUCUUGGACGUUUUUCAAAUCCAUGAACUUUUCUCGAAUUUGCAAUUUUCCCCAAAAUUUCAUGACAUUUUUGCACAUUUACUGAUUUUUCCUUAAAAUUUCAUGACAUUGUUAAACUUUUUUUUCUGUAAUUUUUUGUGAUUUUUUACUUUUUGAAAAGUAGAUAGUCAACUCUUCAUUGUCAACGGUUGCUCAUAGACUGGUCAACGACAACGGUCGUAAGUCAACCAGUUAACCAAUUUAAGAAAAACAUAACUGGGCCGGUCCAUAUAUUUCGCGCGUGAGCGCCAGUUGUCCUCAUUGUCACCUUUGGAAUUUUUCGCUAGAACAAUCAACCCAACGUGAACAUUUUUAAUUUCGGUACUAGAAAACCCAAAUUGUUACCCUCAUGAACCCACUGCAUACAUGGCCUUUUGCUAGCCCUCUGGCCCAAACACAAAUCCCCUCGCGUGAAAAAAAGCAAUACAUAGAAAACAUAAUUGCAAAACUAAAAAUAAAAAGAAUGCCAUGGCAGCCUACCAAACAAAAAUACAUGGCAAAUUUUUACACGUCAAUUAAAAAAACAUACAAGAAAUUUUCCAUACUUUAUAUUUUCAUUUUCAAAAUGCACAUAGUAAUGAAGUUGCCAUUAUCAAAUAAAUAAAUAAAUUGCCAUGCUCUUAACAAUAAAAUUUUCAUGCUUUUAAUAAUAAAAUUUCUAAAAAAAUUAUGUUUACAAAACAAAAUAGACAUCUGAAACAUUACAAUAAAAUGUUUUAAAAAUUGCCAUGUGACCAUUUUAAAAAUUUAUAAAUGUGUCAUGUGCAUUUUUAUUUAAAAUGCCAUGUACCUAAACAUUUUUUUUUUGCAUUUUUGCCACCUAAAAAUUCAAAAAUAAAAAUGAGGAGUUAGUAUUCGAUCCCGAGUCUCCCAAGUGGAGGCUGUACACGCUAGCCAGUCUGGGCGGCCCCGUUUGGUUGGGAUAGCGUUCAUGCGGUCUUUGUUCCUCAACCAACGAGUUUUUGGAUCUGACGUGAUGAGUAGGCCUGCUUCAAAAUUCAUGUAAACGAUUGAAGGGUUGUUGGGGGCGUUCGCUGGAUCCUCACCCCCAACGAACGUUCGCGAGUUAUCAUUUCUGUAAAAAAUAAGAGAGAAUCCUCACGCCCGUCGGGCAGACGACGGCAGGGCCNNNNNNNNNNNNNNNNNNNNNNNNNNNNNNNNNNNNNNNNNNNNNNNNNNNNNNNNNNNNNNNNNNNNNNNNNNNNNNNNNNNNNNNNNNNNNNNNNNNNNNNNNNNNNNNNNNNNNNNNNNNNNNNNNNNNNNNNNNNNNNNNNNNNNNNNNNNNNNNNNNNNNNNNNNNNNNNNNNNNNNNNNNNNNNNNNNNNNNNNNNNNNNNNNNNNNNNNNNNNNNNNNNNNNNNNNNNNNCUUUCUAUUUAAUUUCUAAACAAGAAUGUGGGCAAUGAACCAAGUAUGCCCAUGGUGUGGCGACAACAUGGUAGGUGCGUGUCACCAGGUGGUUCUCACUUGCAAUGGAAUAUGCGUAUAUUUUCAAGAGGACUUUCUGGGGAGGACGAUACGUUUUAAUUAAACUUAAGUUAUGGCUGAUGAGUUGCUCACGUAUAUAAAGUUGCGUCCAAAAAUAUCUAAUUGUUAUUUUCUUUCAGUUAAGCUUAGUGCAUUUCUUGGUGGUGAAGAGCCGAGUCCAUGGCGUAGGGUGAACCUGCCCAUGGAGGUGGAGGACAAAUUUGAGUUCAAGAUGGCCAUGUUAAAGAAUGUCACACUCCUCACCCUUAUGGUCACCAACGAGGCACAUCCAAUGUAUUUUGUGGUCUUCGUUGGAUAUAGAUUGCAAUAGAAUUAGGGAUGGAACAUGAGAAGGGGUUCAGUCUAUUUCUUGGCGAAGUAGAUGAUAACAACAAUGACAUCUAUUUGUGGUACAAUGCCCCUAGUCAUCAUAGCAGUUUCACUAUCGAUCUCGAUUUUGUACGCGUACUUCUAUCGUACUAGCACUUCAUUGAACAUAUAUAUUAUGCGGUUAUCAUAGUGUUAUGUUUAAGUGUUAAACAUUAGAGAGUUGUUAAACUAAAGUGGGUUCUUGAACUAUUAUAUAUAUGACUAUGAUACUAUUAUUACUGUUAAACUUAAAAAGUUGCCACGCCAGCGAAAAACACUACCAUGACAACGUCUUUUCUUUUGGCCUUAUAAAAUAUAUCACUCGCGGGCGACAGUCAAUACCCGCCGCAGGUAUAAACAUUACCAGUGACAGGCGACACUGAGAAGUUAGCAAUGUCGGGAGUUUAGUGACGAGCGAUCCUAAAAACCUCGCCCGUCACUCAUGGACUUUUGACGCCUGCCAUUGGUAGACGGUUCUGCAGUAAAGCCCCCUCCCCUCGAGCUGGCCCACGUAUUGGAUUCAGCGAGGAGUAGGCGUACUAUACUCCUGUGAGAAUCCAAAAUGACCGGAAAAUGAGUGCGGCAUGGAGCGACCCUCGGUUCGUAAGUUGCAGCUAGGCACGCGGGACCAGGUAGACGAGCAUGCACGUUCACGCUGGGCUUCAUGAUACCACGGAUGCAAGGGCAAAUGAGGGAAGCCAUGACGGGCGUGUUGGCGAGGGCAAGCGGUGGAGGGCAGUGAGGACCUGCCAGGUGAGAGGCGUGGUGUAUGUGCGGAAUCUGGCGCGCACGNNNNNNNNNNNNNNNNNNNNNNNNNNNNNNNNNNNNNNNNNNNNNNNNNNNNNNNNNNNNNNNNNNNNNNNNNNNNNNNNNNNNNNNNNNNNNNNNNNNNNNNNNNNNNNNNNNNNNNNNNNNNNNNNNNNNNNNNNNNNNNNNNUUGUAGUAUAAUGAUGAUUGGUGUUGCGGAAAUAUCGUGAUUGUUGUGAAUACGCAAUGAUCGCACGACCUCAAUACUUGAACAAUGCAUGCAUAGGCCGGCGUGGCGGGCGUGUGACACAUGCAUUGAAUACCAUACGGAGUAUACAAAUGACAGCACGGCUAUCUAUCUUUAGUUUGCUAAGAAAAGAUGAUUCUUGCCCAUUUCAGCAUUUUCAGAUUUUCCAUUAGAAAAUAUCAUAGUUGUCUUGGACGCCAUAUAUGUGUCUUUGCUCCGCCAUACAGCUUGCUCAAACAAAGCUUGUCCGCUUAGCCCGUGGGUCACAAUGGCGACACCGUUACACCCAACAUUCCCCAAAGAGAAAAAUGGCGACACCAGACCAAAUCACAAAAAGCAUGUGAUUCCUAGUAUACGACUUCAAUGCGAAUACGCGUUAUACUCUCUCUGUUCCUAAAUAUUAGUAUUUUUAAAGAUUCCAAUGUACGAAGCAAAAUAAAUGAAUCUACAUUUGAAAAUAUAUACAACCCGUAUUGAAGUAUCUAAAAGGUUUUAUACUUAGAAACAGAGUAGUACAUAUAUGUUGUUUGUGUGGCAGUGGACUUCUGUCAAGUGUCAACUACCCACUUCAUUUCUAAAUAUAAGUCUUUUUAAAGAUUCUAACAUAGACUAUAUGCAAAGCAAAAUGAUUAAAUCUACGCUCUAAACUGCAUUCAUAUAUAUCCUUACGUAGUUCAUAUUAAAAUCUCUAAGAAGACCUCUAUUUAGGAAUAAAGGGAGUAGAAGAAGAAGAAUACUUCAAAGACGAUGAGAAAAUAUGACCGUAGACUAUGCACCACUUGGUUCGUAUUGUCGUACUUUUUUUUGAACAUAGUACAAACGCAAGCGCUCAUAUACACGCGCAUACACUCACCUCUAUGAACGCACACACGCACACCCUACCCCUAUGAGCACCUCCGAAAGACUGAGACGGCAUAUCAUCUUGAAAUUUACGAAGUCGCCGUAGGCACCUCGUCGUCGAUGGGAACGUCUCCUCCCACUGAAUGCGCAUCACCGGAAAUCCUAAAAUAAAUCCAGGAAUAAAUGCGAGCACCAUGACUUGAACCCUGGUGGGCUGGGGAUACCACAGUCCCUCUAACCAUCCAACCACAGGUUGGUUCGCUUGUACUGUCGUACUUACAAAGGUACACGGCUAGGUACCCGUAACACAUCAAAAUCACUUGGUGCCUUUGUAGGCACAUAAUAAAAGUCCAUGCAAAAAAAGGCACAUAAUAAAAGUUAUUCAAUGGAAAGACAAAAAGUUCGAUUUACUUUUCUUUAUGCGUGGCUCGCUUAAUCAUAUUUUAGCCGAUUAUUUGGGGAGGGCCAUUUUGGCUCUAAGGAGCAUAUGCUCUCGGAUGAAAAUAAUCAAAAUAAACAAUAAAUAAAUUUUUAAAAUUCUGAUUUUCUUGUGUGGAUGUUCAUGUUAGUCUAACAAGCAUUUUGACAAUUUUCAUCGAAAUGGGGUAGUAACGUUUCGUCGGUGAAAAAUAAUAAUUUAUGUGUAACAUUUGGAGGAGGUAACAUUUAGUGUUCAGUUUGUUUUCUCGCACAUGUCAAAAUUCUAAAGCUUUUUCACUAAAGAUUUGCAGGUAGCAUUUGGGUGUGCCAAUGAACAAAUCAUUUUUUUAAUAUUUUUGACAUUUGCAAAAUACAUUUUUAACGGGCAGGAGCAUAUGCUCCCAAAAGCCGAAUUGGAUUUCUGGAUUAUCUAUAGGUGCGCAUGUUCUAAACUGCUGCACUACUUAGAUGUAUUGAGAAUUUCUCAAGAUGUACAAGUACCUAAGUCCUAAAGUCAAGCAACCAUCUUGCAGUCCAUUUGCGUUUCCCUUAUAACUAUCUGGCCAUGAACAUUUUUCCUCUCCAUAUGAACUAUCACCACCACAGACGUAUCCAAAGUAUACACGGUGCUUCUAAGUGCUCUAGCAGACCCCCUAUAAAUUAUAUGUGAGGAGAAAACAAAUCUUGUAUAGAGAAUUAAGCCCCUUCAAGCAGAUCCCCUAAAACCAAAAAUUUCUUAAAUCCAACCACCAACCCCAACUAAAAUCACCCCACCCUCCAAUUAUUAGUCAGCCGUGGCUUUUCUUCGAAAAAACCACGCCCCCACCCGCUUGCUAGCAGCUUUCCCGCCCAACCCCAAUGCUGCCACCGAUGCCGCACCGUCACCCGUCCCUGACACUGACGACCGGCAUAAUCGAAAGCCCCUCCCCUGCCGCACCCCUAGGCACCCUCGCCGUGUCGGAGACCCACGGCAAGCCACACAUUUGGGGCUGCUAGCAUGAAAAUGACGAUGGAAAGGGAAGAACAUCAUCAAUAAUAGUUCAUCGCCUGCAGCCGUUGUGGGUGGCACCGGCGCGACUAGCCUACCGCUCUUUCCCAAGCCGACCGACAAACAUGAGUGUCAGUAGUUGUCCAAGGCAGCAAACAACACAAUGGCGACGAUGAAGAAGAAGAAUGUUGCCUCCCCUACGCUUCCCUUCCUACCUCCUAUGGCCCCAAUGACUACCUCAUGGCCUUCCGCGGCUGCCACCACCCCUUCCACCUCCAGUGGCCGAGGACGAGCCAGAUUCAAACGUGACCACGAGCGAGGCCGAUGUGCUUGAGAAUAUGCUCAAGAGGUAAUAUUUCUUUCUUUCUUUUAUUUUUUGUUUGCAAUCGCUUAGGAGAGUGAUGUAUGAUUUGGUAUUGAUUGGUAGGUUCUUUCUUUUCUUUUGUAUUGGGCAACUGGAUGAUGAUUCCACUGCUUACUUGGAAGAAUUGAAUGUAAGCCACAACCUCCGCCUCGUCAACAUUGCCAUGGCAGUGCCAUAUACCACACAAGAAAUGUUGAGGUGGUGGACGAGGUCGACGAGGUGGAGGAGAGCCAAGUAACCAAUAAGAGGAGUAGGUCAUGCAAAUACAAGACUGAGGAAGGUAAAUAUUUCUGUGAAGCUUGGCUCACCAUAUCUCUUGAUGCCAUGGUCGGUGCCGACCAAACAAAGGAGAAAUUUUGGCAAAAGAUCAAGGAGUACUAUAAUAACAAUGUCACUAUUCCCUCCAACUGCAUAAUCGGGUCUCUUAGUCAUUGUUGGACGAUAACCCAAGAACAAUGAAACCGGUGGGCCAACGGUGGUGGUCGCGGCAGUGUUGGUAGCGAAGAGAGUGGUGUUGUUGAUGGUGAUGGUGUGAGUGCGUGAGGUCCAUUUGAACUAUGAUGGCUUUUGAUCCACCAUGUGUUUGUUGUUUCAAAUGAACUUGUUCAUUCAGUGCCUUUUGGCACAAAUUAUGGUUAUGUUUGAUGGAUUCGAUGAACUUUAUUUAUGCUCUUAGGUGAAUUAUGAUAGUCUAUGUUAGUGUUGGAUUGUGAUUAAUUUGUUUCAAUUGUUUGAGAAAUAAUUGUUAUUCUUUUUUUAUGAUAGGGGAUUAGCUAGCUGAGAAAAAGUCAUCUUGCUAAAAGAAUUUUAGAUAAAUGGGAUAGAGAGUUUUUUUGUUGGAUUUUAGUAUAGGUGAUCCACAAGAGAUGCCCUGAGCAGAAUCCUACAAUUGACAAGUGAAUAUUAGCUUGACCACACAUGUUAGAAAUUUGUCUGUUUGCGAACUAACCCGUGGUCGGAUGAUUAGAAGGACAGUGGUAUCCCGGCCCACCAGGGUUCAAGUACUAGACUUGAUAUUGGUGCUCGCGUUAUUCCUGGAUUUAUCUGAGGCUUCCGGCGAUGUUCGUUGAGUGAGAGGAGACGUUCCCGUCGACCACGAGGUGCCUACGGUGACUUAAUAAAAUCUCAAGAUGUUGUGCCGGCUCAGUCUCUCAUAGGUGCUCAUAGGGGUAGGAUGUGCGUGCAUGCGUUCAUACGGGAUGAGUGUAUGCUCGUGUAUGUGAACGACUUUUUUAAAAGCUCUGGACAGUGGGGUAACCCCCACUGACUUUAAUUAAUCAAAAGGAAAGAGUACAAAUUACAUGGGAUAUUUACAUCAUGAAUAGGUGGGGUAAAGAGGAACAAGAAACAAAGCCAGAACAAGUGUGGCAGUAACAGUCUUGGAGGUGUUAGCUGUGAGUAGAUCAAUGGAAGGGUGUAACCCCUCCUUGGUUCUGUGCUUCAUGAGAGCAAAGUCCUCCUUAAACCUGGCCAGCCACGAGGCAUGAGAUGGUACCACUCCUCUGAAGUGUUUAUUGUUGCGUUCUUUACAAAUCCCCCAAGUAGCAACAAUAAAUAUUUCCAAGAACAUUGGCCUGGUCUAGCCUCUCUUCACAACAUGCAAUAAAUGGAGACGGUUUCCAUCCGCUAGCCAAGCAAUCCACACGGAAUUCCAGAAUGCAACACUGAAUGAACAAUGAAAAAACAGGCGCUCUACAGUUUCAUCUAGUGGGCUCGAGCAUACCAAGCAUGUGUGUAUGUUACCUUACAGCGGUACAUUGCGCUUUCUCAACAUGUCCCUUGUGUUGAUACGAUUAGCCAAGAGUAGCCAUGCAAAAAAAAUUCCACUUCAUUGUACAUUUUGACUUCCAUGUCCAUGAAAACACGUCAUCAACCUGCAUGUCCCGAAAGCAGUGUGUCUUGUACUUGCUAGCUUGGAAUGGCGAGCCACCCCAAGUACAGAUCCAUCUGUCAGGCUGAUCGAUGUCAAUAACCGUAUCCUGAACCUCGGCCUGAAUGUCCCGAAUCUCCAAUCUGGCUUGCGGUGAUAGACGAAGGUGGAAGUUUUCCCCAAAGGUGUUUGUUGUGAACAUAUUUUGCACAGACACAUCUUCUGUCUUAGCAAAAGAGAAGGCCCUUGGGUGUCUUCCAGACUGAAUGUCAUGACACCAUAAGUCUUUCCAAAACAAGACCGUAGACCCAUCUCCAACCUCCACAUGUGUAACCCAUCUGUAAGUUGGUGACAACUUAAGAAUUUCAUGCCACCAAAAUGAUCCACAAGCGUCAGAGGCAUGUGCUAUCUUGUUUUGGUAGUAGGUUGUCCAAACUAAGGAGACCCACGACACAUCAAGCUAGUUAUAAAACUUAUGCAUUUGCUUGAGGAGGAGCCCUUGAUUUUGAACUUUGAGAUCCAAUAUACCAAGCCCACCAUCGCACUUAAGUCUACAGACGAUAUCCCAAGCCGCAAGGGAGUAAUUUUUGAGGCCAUCCUCAGAUUUCUUGGCCCAAAGGCAAUGUCUACGAAGCUUGUCAAGAUGUUCCAAAAUUUUUGGCGGAAUUUUGGUGGAGCACAUUGCAUAAAUGGCCAGUGAGGUAACCAACAACUUCACUAGUGUGAGCUUAGAGCCAUAAUCUAGAAGGGACGGGCUAUGGUUAGUUUUCUUUCCACCGAAGCAACCAGGGGCAUCAUAUCUUGAACAGAAGGACGAGUGAUGCCCAUUGGCAGCCCCAAGUAUGUAAAAGGUAACGUCCCAACACCACAUCCGAAGAGAGAUGCCAGGACAGGCGCACGAUCAUCAUGGAUGUUGAGUGGUAUCAUGGUUGAUUUUUGAAAGUUAAUUCUAAGUCCAACCGCCAUGCAUACUUCUGCAGAAUGGUUUUCAUAUGGACCACUUGGUCUUCCACCAUCGGCAUGAUCACGAUUGUGUCAUCGGCAUACUGUAUCACAGAGUAGUCACUAUCCUGGGUAUGUAUUGGUCAAUCAAUCAAACCUCUAGCAUGCGCAUCAUUGAUCACUUCCUGUAGGAGAUCGGCCACUAGUAUGAAGAUGAGCGGGGACAAUGGAUCGCCUUGACGCACACCACAAUGACAGAAGAAUUGUCUUCCCAGUGUACCAUGCAACAACACUAAUGAUUUACUAGAAGAGAAUAAACAUUUGAUUUAGGGAUCAAUGUCUGAAUAUUGACUAAACAUGGUACACGAUCAGAUACUGGUUUCCCUAAACGUAAUAGCAUUGUAUUUGGGAAGCUAGUGGUCCAAUGUAGUGAGGUAAAGUGCCAAUCAAGCUGCUCUAGCAAGGGAUGAUUCUGCAUAUUGCUCCACGUGAAAGAUCGCCCUUUGAUUGGGAGCUCAAAAAAGGCUUGCGCUCCGAUGAUAUCAUUGAACGUUAACACGUCAUUCACAUUUCCACCGGAUUUUUUUGUAUUAUCAGGUGCUCUGAUAAAGUUAUAAUCCCCGAUGAUGAGCCAAUCUUCAUCAUCAGGUAUAUUUAUAUUUGAUAACCAAGAAAUGAAGAGAGCUCGCUCCUAGGCAGCACAAGGGCCAUAAACAUUCACACGAGUCCACACAUUAUCCAAUCACAUGGAAGUAAAUCUAAUGCCGAGAGCAAAAGAUUCAAAAAAAUUGGAUUGAACCAGAGAACACAGAACUAUUCCAGAUUGUAAUAAUAACCCCAGAAUUACCAAAAGAAGGAACAAACGCAAAUUUAUCAAGUUUUUUGGUGCAGAAUAGUUUCACAUAAGCAGCAUCAAAAGUAUCAUGCUUAGUUUCUUGCAGACAAAUAACUGAACAACCACUAAGAUCAAUAGCAUUUCGAAUGGCAAGUUGUUCCUUUUCUGAAUUUAUUCCAUGAAUGUUCUAGCACAAAACGUUCCACUGCUUCUUCAGGUUCAUGGGCGAGUAUCAGCUUGACCGCCCCCCGACAAGCUUGCUAGCAGCUUCUUAGGACUCAGCUCAUUUCUGUCGAUGACGCACAAAUUGAUGCCCUCAUUUGGAUUGUUUUGAUCGGUGUCGGUUGGGGUAGAGCUCCAUCAUGUGAAGAACUGGGUCUUGCCUGAAUGUUGACAUGUGGAGCAUUAGUUUUGUGGCAUUUGUGAUCGAAGGGGUCACGCGGGCCUUCACCUUGGAGGUGAUGCUCUUACCAUCAAAAGGUUGAGGGAUACGAAAUCCAUCAUGCCUUGUAGAUCGAGGGCUGCGUCUGAGCUGCACGUAUCCACCGGAGCUUACUCAUUGGAGAUCAUGCGCGCAAUAGGAUUUGCAGACUAAUGAACAUGAAGUAGAAUAGAGUGUUGCUCCUCCAAAUGCAGAAUUGACAGAUGUGGCUGCUCCUCUAGUGCCAGGCUAUCAAGACUGCUAGAAAUGUCCUCAAACUGCUAGUUCUGCACUUCAUACCUAGUAGGCUCAUAAGCACUUGUGAUCACUUGAUGAUCAACUAGCAAAUCAAGAUUGAGACCAACACAGAAAGUUUCUCCAAAAAUGCUACCAAGUAUGUCCCUCUCUGGCUGGAUGUUAUUUAGUAUGUAUGAGCAGUAUUGACAAAGCCGUGUCUGCAUAACUUUGAAGGGAUUUAAGGGGAAGAUUGCCUCACCUAAAUGCACCGGUGACAGUAAAGAAGGUGUGUAGAUCCUCUUAAGCAUGUACCCAAUCCAGCGAAGGAGCGCUGCAUCAUUUGUGACAAGUAAAGCAGCAAAAGACCCUCCAGCACGAACAAAAGCAAACCUAGCAACUGGUAAGCCAUUGAUGAAAUUGUCAGCCAACUCUUCCACCUGUGAAACUUCAGACCAGACAUCAAAUAAGUUGUCCACAUCAUUAUGUUCCUGGUGAACACCAUCCACCUGAGAGGGGCCAUCAUAUUCAAAGAACCUCUUGAAACUGAAACCUGUGUAUGGUGGAGGGACCAUGAGGGAGUCGUGGAUUAGGGGGUCCUCGGGUGUCCGAUCUAUUCGAUACGGGCCGGACUGAUGGGCCGUGAAGAUAAAGCUGAAGACUAUCCCCUGUGUCCGGGUAGGACUCCUAUAUGCGUGGACGGCAAGUUUGGUGUCCGAUGUACUAUUUCCUUCCUCUGCAAACCGACUCUGUACAACCCUAGGCCCCUCCAGUGUGUAUAUAAACCGGAGGGUUUAGUCUGUAGAGGCUAUCAAAAUAAUCAUAGGUUAGACAGCUAGGGUUUAGCUAUUACGAUCUCGAGGUAGGUCAACUCUUGUAACCCCCAUACUCAUCAAAUACAAUCAAGCAGGACCUAGGGUUUUACCUCCUUUAAGAGGGCCCGAACCUGGGUAAACAUCGUGUCCCUAUUGUCCCUUGUUACCAUUGAUCCUUAGACUCACAGCUUGGCCCCCCCUACCCGAGAUCUGCCGGUUUUGACACCGACAUUGGUGCUUUCAUUAAGAGCUCCGCUGUGUAGUCACGAAAAAAGCGAUCUAUGGCUCGCCUUGUCAUCAACAACGAUAUCACUUCUGGAAGGAGCCUAACUUCAGGACAGGUCCUCCAGCUCGGCAGUUUCACCGUGGGCGCCCGCAUGGCCAUCAAGCCGACAACGUCCCCCGGGAUUGCCAAACACCACCCCCGCAUCGGUCUCGAAUACUCCGAAAUGAUGGAUCUGGUGGACAUCUCGUCCUUAAACGAGCUGCUAGAACGCAUCGCCACCCUGGCGCUUUCAACAGACUAUGGUCGGAUCAGGCUUAAACCUGACCAGAGGGAAAUCAAUCUCCCGCCGAUCACUCAUUUGGUAGCGGUCGUCGAGGAACGAGCCGAAAACACUUCUUCCCCUAAAUUAAAGACUAGCUAUGUUUGGAUCUCUGAACCCCUUGAGCUGGAUACCCUUCCUUUGGAUGGGACUCCGCGCCCCCCAAACUCAGGGCUGGACAUAGGGUCCGGGGAGCACUUGGAUCUUCCCGGACCCGAACUGGUGACCUCAGAGAUUUUGCAAGCUCCGGACACAACUUUGGGUCAGGAUUUGAGUUUUAGCCCACCCACACCCACCACAAUCAAUACUCUCCAAGUAAUUCAGGCCCUCCAGACAUAUAUGACCUGAUGUAUGUACGGCAGCAACCUCAGGAAACGGUCCAUCACUUUUGGGCCAGGUUCCUACUUGUCAAAAACAAGAUUAAAGAUUGCUGCGACGAUGAUUCAAUUUUGGUCUUUCAUUGCAAUUAUACGGACGAGGGAAUUCUAAAUGCCCUCGAUCGCCGUCGCAUACAGAGUUUCACAAAAUUAUCGCACUUAGUACGGAAGUACUACGCGAUGGAAAGCACAUGGAAGGCCCAGAAAACCCGGUUGGAACCCGCUGCCUUCAAGCAAUGUACUGCUCGGGCAUAACAGAUACACCCUUACGAGGCAUUCGACCAUAAGCUCGUUGGCAAGAGAAACAAACCCUUUACGGGAUACAGGUCCAUUCUUGACGAACUCCUCGACAAAUCCUGUCUGAUACAUGCGAUGCCGAGCACUUACGAGGCAUCCGACCAUAAGCUCGUUGGCAAGAGAAACAAACCCUUUACGGGAUACAUGUCCGUUCUUGACGAACUCCUCGACAAAUCCUGUCUGAUACAUGUGACGUCGAGCACUGACUCAACUCACAGCCUUUGAGCAUGUUGGGUACUCCGGCAGGUAGCUAAAAGUGGAGAGGCCGUCCUCACCACCGCCACUCCAGAGAAGCAUUCUCCGGAGGAUGAUGAUUUUAACGUCCUUACGGUCUUCGAGACUUUCUCUUGAAAUAAUCGGCGUAAGAGGGCACUUCGCGACCUUGCCAAAGUCCACCAAGUAACCGCAGUGAGCCCAUGAAAUGACACGGCAAUAACCUUCACCGCUGAUGAGGGCCCGAUCAGUCCGAGCACCCGCCACCUUAGUACUAAGCCCCAUUGUGGAUGACUUUCGACUUACCAAAGUGCUCAUGGACGGCGGUAGUGGGCUUAACCUCAUCUACGAGGAGACGCUCGACAAAAUGCAGAUUGAUAGACCACGCAUCAAGCAAAGCAGUACCACCUUUCGAGGCAUCAUCCCCGGACGAGAAGCACGAUGUUCGGGGAGAAUUAAACUUGACAUAGUAUUCAACAUGCCUAAAAAUUACAGGUCAAAAGAGUUGCUCUUUCACAUUGCUCCCUUCAAUAGCGGAUAUCACGACCUUCUAGGGCGGGGCGCUUUUUCAUGCUUCCAAGCUGUACCCUAUUAUGGGUACAUGAAGCUCAAAAUGCCAGGGCCCAAUGGAAUAAUCACAGUUACAAGUGAUCCGGAUAAAGCACUCCGUGCCGAAAACAAAACCGCAUCCUUGGCCCUUGAGGCACUGUCCGAAGCCUUUGCGGCCGAAGAACUAACCACCCUACGAUCCACGGUGGACAAGGAUGAUGUGAUUCUCGAUAAGAGACCUAAAUCCACUUCGUUCAAACCAGCAGAUGAAAUAGUUAAAUUUCAAGUGCACCCGACGGAUCCUAAUAAAACAGCAUCCAUCGGAGCACAGCUGGAUCCAACGGUAGACGCCGCCUUGCAUGCAUUCCUACGUGAAAAUUGGGAUAUCUUUGCCUGGCACCCUUCGGACAUGCCCGGGAUCCCACGCAGACUGGCCGAACACAGCCUCAACAUAAUCAAAGGGUUCAAACCAGUCAAGCAAACGCUUCGGCGAUUUUCCGAACCCAAACGACAAGCUAUGGGGGAGGAGCUAGCCAAACUACUCAAUGCCGGGUUCAUCAGAGAAAUCAAACACCCAGAUUAUCUAGACAACUUGGUCAUGGUGCCGAAGAAGAAUAAAUCUUGGCGCCUUUGCGUCGAUUUCAAAGACCUCAAUAAGGCUUGCCCUAAAGACCCUUUCCUGUUGCCCCACAUUGACCAGAUUAUUGAUGCGACCGCAGGACACGACUCAUUGUGUUUCGUCGACGCUUACUCCUGAUACCAUUAGAUUAAAAUGAAGGAGUCCAACCAAGCCGCAACGGUGUUCAUCACCCCGUAUGGGCCUUUCUGUUUCAACACUAUGCCUUUUGGGCUUAAAAACGCUGGUGCCACUUACCAACUCAUGAUUCAAACAUGCUUAUAAAAACAAAUCGGAAGACAGUUGAAGCGUAUGUGGACGACGUGGUCAUCAAGACUAAACACAUCGAACCAUUGGUGGACGAUCUCCGCCUCACAUUUGACAACCUCCGAACAUACGACAUACGACACAAUCCGGAAAAAUGCGUCUUUGGCGUUCCAGCUGGAAAGCUACUGGGGUUCAUUGUCUCCCAUAGAGGAAUCGAAGCAAACCCAGCUAAAAUCCGAGCCUUGUCGCAAUUGGCCACACCAACAGACUUAAAGCAGGUCCAAAAACUAGCAGGGUGCGUGGCGACUUUGAGCCGCUUCAUCUCUAGAUUAGGAGAAAAAGCAUUACCACUUUAUAGACCACUUAGACGCACCGACAACUUUGAAUGGACGGAUGCGACCACAGCUAGAUUGGAAGAAAUAAAAACCUUAUUAGCAGGAAACCCAAUCCUAGCCGCCCCAAGUGUUGGCGAGCCAAUGUUGCUUUAUAUAUCUGUAACUCACCAGGUAGUGAGCGCUGUACUCGUCGUCGAGGGAGGGGAAGAGGGACAUAAAUUCCCCAUCCAAAAGCCAGUGUAUUACAUAUCGGAGGUCCUUACACCAUGCAAAUCCCGAUACCCUCACUACCAAAAGAUAGCUUACGCGGUCUUUAUGGCAUCCCGAAAACUCCGGCACUAUUUUCAAGUGUUCGACCACGGUGGCAUCUGAAGUACCACUUAACGACAUUAUAAACAAUAGGGACGCCAUCGGCCGCAUAGCUAAAUGGGCCACUGAGCUCUUACCGUUUGAAAUAACAUACAAGCCGUGCCGAGCUAUUAAAUCUAAGGUGCUGGCCGACUUCGUCACCGAGUGAAAGCCGAGCUCCCUAAAGAGUACAGUUCACACUCUAACUGGAUCAUGUACUUCAAUGACUCUAAAAUGCUAGCCGGACUGGGGGCUGGCGUCAUCUUGACAUCCCCUACGGGGGACACAGUCCGCUAUGUGCUGCAAAUCAUGUAUACGGACUCCAAUAACGCAGCCGAAUACGAGGCACUUCUACAUUGUCUCCGCAUGGCUGUCUCCAUGGGCAUACAACACAUAGAGGUGUGUGUCGACUCAAACCUCGCAAUAUCUCAGGUAAAUGGAGAGUUCGAUGUAAAAUAUCCAAAAAUGGCGGCAUAUCAAAACACCGUAUUAAAAAUAUCGGCUCGGUUCGAGGGGCUUGAAUUUCAUCACGUCGCUCAAGACAGUAACCAGGCAGCGGACAUACUCGCUCGAAUGGGCGCCAAGCGCGACCCCGUCCCGCCUAAUACCUUUGUGGAAAGGCUCUUCAAGCCAUCCGUGGUAUGGCAGGACGAGAGCGGAGAUGCCAGUACGGACCUGAUCACGCCCCCAGCAGCCGAACACAAUACAGAUAUCAUCGAGGGUUCGGAGUACCGGAAUAACACCCUCUGCUCAUGAGAACAUGGACGUUAUUGCUCCAUGGACCGAACCCUUCCUAGCCUACCUUAAUAGGCAGGAGCUUCCUGAUGAUCAAAAUGAGGCUCGUCACAUAGUUCGGCAUUCUAAAGCCUACAAAGUUCACGAAGGUGAACUGUACAAGAAAAGCACUACCAGAGUUCUCCAAAGGUGCAUCUCCGAAGAGGAGGGACGACAACUCUUGGCUGAAAUACAUGUUGGUCUGGGCGGCCAUCACGCCGCAGCUCGGGCCCUCAUAAGCAAGGCCUUCCGGAUAGGUUUCUUCUGGCCAACGGCCCGAGCAGAUGCACAAGCCCUUGUCCAACGUUGUGUGGGAUGUCAGCUUUUCGCCAAUCAAAGUCAUAUGCCUCCCACUGCCUUAUGGACAAUCCCCAUCACUUGGCCCUUUGUGGUCUGGGGGCUUGAUAUGGUCGGACCCCUUAAAGGGGAAGCCACAAAAAGAAAUAUUUACUGGUUAUGGUGGAUAAAUUCACUAAGUGGAUAGAGGCCAAACCAGUAAAAACAGCUGAAGCAGGACCGAUGACUAACUUUAUAUCCGGCGUGGUACACCACUAUGGUGUCCCGCAUAGCAUCAUCACAGAUAAUGGCUCCAAUUUUACACCUGGUAAGUUAAAAAACUGGUGUGCUAACUUGGGCAUCAAACUCGACUAUGCAUCCAUCUACCACCCUCAAACAAACGGUCAGGUUGAACGGGCCAAUGGCUUGAUAAUGAGCGGCAUUAAAUCCAGACUGGUGUGCUCCCUACGGGAGUCAGAUAAGCACUGGGUUGAGGAACUAGAUUUCGUGCUCUGGGGGCUGAGACUACACCUAACCGAACAACCGGAUACACACCUUUUUUCAUGGUACGGCACAGAAGCUGUCUUGUCCUGCGACAUUAUUCAUGACUCACCUCGAGUGCACAUGUACGAUGAGCGAGAAGCCGAGCUCGAUCGCAGGACGACCUAGAUGGCCUCGAAGAGGAGCGUGAUAUUGCACAAGCCCGUUCCACAUUUUAUCAACAAUAGGCCAGGCGAUACCAAAGCAGAGAAGUGCGGGCAAAGACAUAUAACGUCGGCGACCUCGUCUUACGUCUCCCGGAGAAGAAGAAGGACAAGCUCAAACCAAAAUGGGAGGGCCCCUUCAUCAUAGAUGAAGUUCUCACAGGAGGAGCCUAUCUCCUUCGUAAUGCAUCGGAUAAUCGCCUUGAGCCGAAUCCAUGGAACGCUGCUCAGCUCUGACGAUUCUAUGGAUAGUUCGGUAGCACCUUUUUUUUACUUUGACUAGGUUCCUUUUUUCUCCUCUCCUUUUUAUUUUUUCCCUUUCAUAUCCCAGGGUAUGUUCGGAUCUACCGAACUAUUAGGGGUACACAUCUUUAAAUGUAUACACCCACCAUAACUGGGGGUUUCUUUGACGAAGCUUAUUACUAAAAGCUUGUGGCUUACAUUGUUUAUGUCAUUUGUUCUAUACACUUUUUGCCAUUAUAUGCACCUCUAUGACCUAAGUUUUGGCCAAGCUGGGUUGCCUCGCUCGUGUGUUUAUACCCUAUGUCCCCGAUUGUUCGGCUAGGGUGUAAAGGGAGCACCUCUGCGAUUGUGACAACCGGGUAAUCCGGAUCUGUACCUCAGACAGGUGAAGCCGAAAGCUAGCGUUCUUAAGGGAAUAAUUGGCCGGCAAGCAACGACAGAUUAUUUACGUUUAUGUAAUUCUUCUAACAAAUAAGGGAUAGGCUGCCCAUAAUUCCAUAUUUCGGAUCGAAGCCUAGGCAUGCAUAAUUAAAGCAUGCCGACCCAAGGAAAGGAACCCUUAACAGAACUACUUUCCCUGGAAGAUGUUUCUUAUGUUAAAUAGUAAUAUAACAUAACUCCCCGAACAAAUUUUGUCUGUUUGAGCAAUAUGACCGGAUUGCCUGGUUUCCGGACAUAAUGAAUGCUUAUUACAUUCCAACUUGGUAUCCGGAAACACUCCAACUUCUUGUUUUGGAGGUUGAAGCCGAAGGCCUGUGAUGACAAAUUUUGUCAAGUUCGGCUGGAUAUAAGUUCGAUGAUAAAGUACAUUGAUACAUUGAAUCGAACGCCUACUCUUUAUCUAUGUUAUCUAUAAGACUCUUUAAACUACAGUCUUCUUGCGAAUAUUUCGUAGCUAUCAUCACUUGGUCAUACACCAAGUUCAUGGGAAUAUCUUUUCUGUCCGGUCCCUGAGGUCCAACUCGGGCCAUAUGAUUUGGAUUGAGCCCGGUGUAGCGCGUUUUCACCAUCGCCCAUGCCUCUUGUGCACCUUCCCGGCAUGCUGAUGCCUUCCAUAGAUCAAAACGGCACCGGGCACCUUUGAAUAGGUUUGCCAACCCCUCCAUACUUUCUGGAGGGGCAUCAGAUGGCCAUAAGGCCUUGGCCAUACUUCUCAUGGCUUUCCGGGCCCGCUCAUGCACUACGGAUAGCUCUUUUAGAACGUCGCCUCGAAAUCCGGAUACUUCUUCUUCAUGCCGCCUGGUUAGCAGACCUGAAAGAACAACAUUAUAACACUCCGAAUUAUGGGAUAGUAUGAGUCCCUUGGAUGGUUCAAAGGUCAUACCGAAUAUGCCGCCUUUCCACUUUUUAUUCUCUUUCUGUGCGUCAGAUAAUUGAGCCUUUAAGCUCUUUAUCUCUUCGGCUUGCUUAUCAUUUUCCUCCUCCAGUUUGUUCUUUUGAUCAAUGGUCAUCGUGACCUUAUUCAUUUCCUCUAGCUCUGUGGUGGCGACAUUUAGCUUUGUCCGGCUCAUUUCAAGCUCCUAGGACAACACGUUGUUCUUCUCUUUGAGAAUGUGCGGUCAUAAUGAUCGUUAAAUCGGUUCUAAACCGCUUCAAGUCUCGGGGGCACUAGCAUAUAUCUAUUAAAUUUACACAAACCAUUAUGCAUAUCUUUUAAAAUAGGUGAGCAACUCCAGCAAGUCCGUCCCAGGCAGCUCGAAUAUAUGCAUCCACGGUGCUGAGGGCAGUAAAUUCCUGCUCAGUAAAAAUUGGAGCACGCAUGGUCUUGAUGUCUACUACGCAACCUUCUUCUUGUAGACGUUGUUGGGCCUCCAAGUGCAGAGGUUUGUAGGACAGUAGCAAAUUUCCCUCAAGUGGAUGACCUAAGGUUUAUCAAUCCGUGGGAGGCGUAGGAUGAAGAUGGUCUCUCUCAGGCAACCCUGCAACCAAAUAACAAAGAGUCUCUUGUGUCCCCAACACACCCAAUACAAUGGUAAAUUGUAUAGGUGCACUAGUUCGACGAAGAGAUGGUGAUACAAGUGCAAUAUGGAUGGUAGAUAUAGGUUUUUGUAAUAUGAAAAUAUAAAAACAGCAAGGUAGCAAGUGGUAAAAGUGAGCGUAAACGGUAUUGCAAUGCUUCGAAACAAGGCCUAGGGUUCAUACUUUCACUAGUGCAAGUUCUCUCAACAAUAAUAACACAAUUGGAUCAUAUAACUAUCCCUCAACAUGCAACAAAGAGUCACUCCAAAGUCACUAAUAGCGGAGAACAAAUGAAGAGAUUAUUGUAGGGUUGAAACCACCUCAAAGUUAUCCUUUCUGAUCGAUCAAUUCAAGAGUCCGUAGUAAAAUAACACGAAACUAUUCUUUCCGUUCAAUCUAUCCUAGAGUUCGUACUAGAAUAACACCUUAAGACACAAAUCAACCAAAACCCUAAUGUCACCUAGAUACUCCAAUGUCACCUCAAGUAUCCGUGGGUAUGAUUAUACGAUAUGCAUCACACAAUCUCAAAUUCAUCUAUUCAACCAACACAUAGAACUUCAAAGAGUGCCCCAAAGUUUCUACCGGAGAGUCAAGACGAAAACGUGUGCCAACCCCUAUGCAUAGAUUCCCAAGGUCACGGAACCCGCAAGUUUAUCACCAAAACAUACAUCAAGUGAAUCAAUAGAAUACCCCAUUGUCACCACGGGUAUCCCACACAAGACAUACAUCAAGUGUUCUCAAAUCCUUAAAGACUCAAUCCGAUAAGAUAACUUCAAAGGGAAAACUGAAUCCAUUACAAGAGAGUAGAGGGGGAGAAACAUCAUAAGAUCCAACUAUAAUAGCAAAGCUCGCGAUACAUCAAGAUCGUGCCAAAUCAAGAACACGAGAGAGAGAUCAAACACAUAGCUACUGGUACAUACCCUCAGCCCCGAGGGUGAACUACUCCCUCCUCGUCAUGGAGAUCACCGGGAUGAUGAAGAUGGCCACCGGUGAGGGAUCCCCCCUCCGGCAGGGUGCCGGAACAGGGUCCCGAUUGGUUUUUGGUGGCUACAGAGGCUUGCGGCGGCGGAACUCCCGAUCUAGGUUUCUUUCCGGGGGUUUCUAUAUUUAUAGGGAUUCUUGGCGUCAGGAACAAGUCAGGGGGUCUCUGAGGCAGCCACGAGGUAGGGGGGCGCGCCCAGGGGGGUAGGGCGCGCCCCCACCCUCGUGGGUGCCUCGGGACUCUUCUGGUCCAUCUCCGAUACUCCGUGGCUUCUUCUGGUCCAAAAAUAAUCUCCGUGAAAUUUCAGGUCAAUUGGACUCCGUUUGGUUUUCCUUUUCUGCGAUACUCAAAAACAAGGAAAAACAGAAAUUGGCACUGGGCUCUAGGUUAAUAGGUUAGUCCGAAAAAUCAUAUAAAAUAGCAUAUAAAUGCAUAUAAAACAUCCUAGAUGGAUAAUAUAAUAGCAUGGAACAAUAAAAAAUUAUAGAUACGUUGGAGACGUAUCAAGCAUCCCCAAGCUUAAUUCCUGCUCGUCCUCGAGUAGGUAAAUGAUAAAAACAGAUUUUUUGAUGUGGAAUGCUACCUAACAGAAUUUUCAAUGUAAUUCUCUUUAUUGUGGCAUGAAUGUUUAGAUCCCAAAAGAUUCUAGAGAAAGUUUUAAUAUUGACAUAAAAAUAGUAAUACUUCAAGCAUGCUAACCGAGCAAUUAUGUCUUAUCAAAAUAACAUAGCCAAAGAAAGCUUAUCCCUACAAAAUCAUAUAGAUUGGCCAUGCUUCAUUUUCGUCACACAAAAUGCUCCCAUCAUGCACAACCCCGAUGACAAGCCAAGCAAUUGUUUCAUACUUAGCCUUUUCAAACUCUUUCUACUUUUAUGCAAUAUAUGAGAGCAAGCCAUGGACAUAGCACUAUGGGUGGAAUAGCAUAUGAUGAUGGGGGUUGUGUGAGAAGACAAAAAGGAGAAAGUCUCACAUUGACGCGGCUAAUCAACGGGCUAUGGAGAUGCCCAUCAAUUGAUGUCAAUGCGAGGAGUAGGGAUUGCCAUGCAACGGAUGCACUAGAGCUAUAAAUAUAUGAAAGCUCAUCAAAAGAAACUAAGUGGGUGUGCAUCCAACUUGCUUGCUCACGAAGACCUAGGGCAUUUUGAGGAAGCCCAUCAUUGGAAUAUACAAGCCAAGUUCUAAUAAUGAAAGAUUCCCACUAGUAUAUGAAAGUGACAAAAUAAGAGACUCUCUAUCAUGAAGAUCAUGGUGCUACUUUGAAGCACAAGUGUGGAAAAAGGAUAGUAACAUUGUCCCUUCUCUCUUUUUCUCUAAUUUUUUAUUUUUUAUUUGGGCCUUUCUCUUUUUUAUGGCCUCUUUUUUUAGUUGGGCUUCUUUGGCCUCUUUUUUUCGUCCGGAGUCUCAUCCCGACUUGUGGGGGAAUCAUAGUCUCCAUCAUCCUUUCCUCACAUGGGAUUAUGCUCUAAUAAUGAAAAUCAUCACACUUUUAUUUAUUUACAACUCAAGAAUUAAAACUCGAUACUUAGAAGAAAAUAUGACUCUAUGUGAAUGCCUCCGGCGGUGUACCGGGAUAUGCAAUGAAUCAAGAGCGACAUGUAUGAAAGAAUUAUGAAUGUGGCUUUGCCACAAAUACGAUGUCAACUACAUGAUCAUGCAAAGCAAUAUGACAAUGAUGGAGCGUGUCAUAAUAAAUGGAACGGUGGUAAGUUGCAUGGCAAUAUAUCUCGGAAUGGCUAUGGAAAUGCCAUAAUAGGUAGGUAUGGUGGCUGCUUUGAGGAAGAUAUAAGGAGGUUUAUGUGUGAUAGAGCGUAUAAUAUCACGGGGUUUGGAUGCACCGGCGAAGUUUGCACCAACUCUCGAGGUGAGAAAGGGCAAUGCACGGUACCGAAGAGGCUAGCAAUGAUGGAAGGGUGAGAGUGCGUAUAAUCCAUGGACUCAACAUUAGUCGUAAAGAACUCACAUACUUAUUGCAAAAAUCUACAAGUCAUCAAAACCAAGCACUACGCGCAUGCUCCUAGGGGGAUAUAUUGGUAGGAAAAGACCAUCGCUCGUCCCCGACCGCCACUCAUAAGGAAAGCAAUCAAAGAACACCCCAUGCUUCAAAUUUGUCACACAACGGUUACCAUACGUGCAUGCUACGAGACUUGCAAACCUCAACACAAGUAUUUCUCAAUUUCACAAUUACUCAACUAGCACAACUCUAAUAUCACCAUCUUUAUAUCUCAAAACAAUUAUCAAGUAUCAAACUUCUCAUAGUAUUUAAUGCACUUUAUAUGAAAGUUUUUAUUAUACCCAUCUUGGAUGCCGAUAAUAUUAGGACUAGUUUCAUAACCAAAGAAAAUUACCAUGCUGUUUAGGACUCUCAAAAUAAUAUAAGUGAAGCAUGAGAGUUCAUCUAUUUUUUCAAAAUAAAACCACCGCCGUGCUCUAAAAGGAUGUAAGUGAAGCACUAGAGCAAAUGAUAAACUACUCCGAAAGAUAUAAGUGAAGAUUAAUGAGUAGUUGAAUAAUUAUGUAACUAUGUGAAGACUCUCUAACAUUUAAGAAUUUCAGAUCUUGGUAUUUUAUUCAAACAGCAAGUAAAACAAAAGAAAAUAAAAUGACGCUCCAAGCAAAACACAUACCAUGUGGUGAAUAAAAAUAUAGCUCCAAGUAAAGUUACCGAUGAACGAAGACGAAAGAGGGGAUGCCUUCCGGGGCAUCCCCAAGCUUAGGAUCUUGGUUGUCCUUGAAUUACCUUCGGGUACCUUAGGCAUCCCCAAGCUUAGGCUCUUACCACUCCUUAUGCCAUAGUCCAUCGAAUCUUUACCCAAAACUUGAAAACUUCACAACAGAAAACUCAACAGAAAACUCGUAAGCUCCGUUAGUAUAAGAAAAUAAAUCACCACUUAGGUACUGUUGUGAACUCAUUAUAAAUUCAUAUUGGUGUAAUAUCUACUGUAUUAAAACUUCUCUAUGGUUCAUACCCUCCGAUACUACUCAUAGAUUCAUCAAAAUAAGCAAACAACACAAUGAAAACAGAAUCUGUCAAAAACAGAACAGUCUGUAGUAAUCUGUAUCAUUCGAAUACUUCUGUAACUCCAAAAAUUCUGAAAUAAAUUGGUGGACCUGAUGAAUUUGUCUAUUAAUCAUCUGCAAAAAUAAUAAACCUAAAAUCACUCUCUAGUAAAAAAUGGCAGCUAAUCUCGUGUGCGCAAAAGUUUCUGUGUUUUACAGCAAGAUCGGAAAGACUUCAUCCAAGUCUUCCCAAAGGUUCUACUUGGCACAAAUACUAAUUAAAACAAUAAAACCACAUCUAAACAGA
RNAcentral lists this long non-coding RNA (47225 nucleotides) under Triticum aestivum (bread wheat). Its description in RNAcentral is "long non-coding RNA (TAES_LNC000264)". The record is from RNAcentral. Lineage: Eukaryota; Viridiplantae; Streptophyta; Magnoliopsida; Poales; Poaceae.